UUUUUUUUUUCCUUCUUCCUUUAUUUAGGCAAGCAACAUCAGGUUUAACAAGUGGCUAAUUAUGUGUCAUCACCAUGCCUCGAGCUCACUUGGCAAAAAAAAAUGAAAAGAAAGGAAAGCGCCGUUUGAUUGUGGGCAAUGUGGUUUCAAUUUUGUUCGUCCUUCCCGGCCCUCUCUUACUAGGGAAAAGCGUAUCAGGUUUAACAAGUGGCUAAUUAUCUUCCAUUCUCCCUUUUCCUAGAAUGUAUCCUGAGACUGAAUUGAUGCUCAAUCUCAGGUCGUCUUCUUUGCAAUCACGACGAAAAAUAAAGAAAGAUAUGACUAAUCGAAAUAUUGUCAGCCACUCUUUUUUUUUUUGAGAAAAGAGAAAAGACGGGGCAUCCGAAAGAAAAGAGUGCAAGCCCAGGGCCCAUUUCACGCAGACGAAAAGCCCAGCCCAAUUGUAUAUGUCUGUCAGCCAAUGUGAGAGAGACUGACCCACGGCUUCCCCCAGCUCCCUCCCUCCCCUCGCCGCCGGCGCCGCCAUGCUCCGGCGCCGAGGCCGCGUCCUCAUCCGGAAGCUCUCCACUCCCUCCGCCGCCACCACCUCCCCUCUCCACCGCAUCAUAUGCGCCGCCGCCCCACCACAGGCACACGCUCGGAGCUGCAUCCUCUCCUCUCUCCGCCGCCUCAUCUCCGGCGCCACAGCCCCCGGCAUCUCCCCGACCUCUGGGUUCGCCGUGGAGGAGUACCUUGUCGACACCUGCGGCCUCACCCGACCCCAGGCACUGAAGGCUUCCCCCAAGCUGUCCCACCUCAGGUCCGCCGCCAACCCCGACGCCGUGCUCGCCUUCCUCGCCGGCCGCGGCCUCUCCGGCGCCGACGUCGCCGCCCUCGUCGCCAAGGACCCCAAGUUCCUCUGCACCAAGGUCGACAAGGGCCUGUCCCCCAUCGUCACGGGGCUCUCCGGCCUCGGCCUGUCAGAUCCCGACAUGGCGCGCCUCCUCUCGCUCGCCCCACACAAAUUCCGCUGCAGAUCCAUCGUCGCCAAGCUGCACUACUACCUGCCCCUCUUUGGCGGCUCCUCGGAGAAGCUGCUCCGGGCCAUCAACUUCAACACCAACCUCCUCUGCUGCAAGAGGAGGGUGGAGCUCAACGUCGCCUUCCUGCGCGAGUGCGGGCUGGGUGAUCCCGACAUUGCCAAGCUGUGCAGCUCGAUACCGAGGAUGGUCACCACCAACCUGGAGCGUGUCCAGACAAUGGUGGCGUUGACCGAAGGCCUCGGCGUGUCCCGGGGGUCCGGGAUGUUCAGGCAUGCUCUCAGUGCCGUCGCGUUCCUCGACGAGAAGAAGAUCGCGGCCAAAGUGGAUCACCUGAAGAAGACGCUAGGGUGGUCGGAUGUCGAGGUGAGCAUUGCUCUGCCUAAGGCCCCGUUUUUGCUCGCCAAGUCGAAUGAAUCGCUGCAGCACGGGUCCGAGUUCCUCAUCUCUGAGGUGGGGUUGAAACCGGCGUACAUUGCUCGUCGGCCGGUACUGCUCUGUUACAGCCUAGAGGGCCGGAUGAGACCUCGGUACUACGUUGUGAAGUUUCUCAAGGAAAAUGGAUUGCUCAAGCGUGACCCCAGCUACUAUACUGUUUUCAAGGAGACCGAGAAGUAUUUCGUGGAGAAGUUCAUAUGCCCUCACAAGGAAGCUGCACCACACCUUGCUGAAGAUUAUGCUGCCGCUUGCGGAGGGGAAGUGCCCGCUAGAUUUAGAUUUACAGGUCUAACAACAUGAACCAAGAAUUCUGAGUAAUAUAUGUAGAAUCGUGAUGUAGUUCUGAAGCCAGCUAUGUGUUGGUCAUUAUUUUGUAAUGGAGAACAACAUACAUGUUUUCUGAAGAUUUAUCUGGCUUUCCAAAAUCUAUCCUUUGAUUAUGUACUGAUUUCUCCUUUGUGCCAUGCUAAUCAGAAGAUUACUUUAUAUGUUGAGCUUUUACUUCAUAAUCUUCAUGGGAAGUUCACUGCUUCAUAAAUAUUCAGAAAUAUUUUUUAUUGCCAUUUUUUGAAUUACAGUUCACGUCAUGGUUAUCUUGACUUUCAGGAUAGUUGGUUGCGGCAUCAGAGAAAGGUAGGUCACAAGCUGUAGGUGCAUGCCAACUUCAAAGGUUAGAGACCCCAGAUCUGGGAGAGGCAGUGCUGNNNNNNNNNNNNNNNNNNNNNNNNNNNNNNNNNNNNNNNNNNNNNNNNNNNNNNNNNNNNNNNNNNNNNNNNNNNNNNNNNNNNNNNNNNNNNNNNNNNNNNNNNNNNNNNNNNNNNNNNNNNNNNNNNNNNNNNNNNNNNNNNNNNNNNNNNNNNNNNNNNNNNNNNNNNNNNNNNNNNNNNNNNNNNNNNNNNNACAUCGACGCUUAAGCUUUGGUAUGAGAUAUAUGGGAUUUUGUCAAGCCGGUCUUCCAAAACUGAAAGGAAUUUUCUGUCUAUGAAGCAGGCGACUUGGGAUGAUUAUCGGAUGUCAUUCAAUUACUUUUAGAUGAUGCCCAUCAUCUUUUUGUGCAUUUCAUGUUGGCAACCUUGCUAUUGUGCUUGCUGGUUGAUGAUAGUGUCCGUGCAAUGAUAUAAGCUUGCUAAAGGAAACCAAUAUAAGGUACUUCAUAAUCUAGAGACCUUUACUUUCUGCUUCUUUUUCAUCACUAACAUAUGUUCACAAAGAAUGGGCACCCGCAUUUACCAAAACAAACUGUGAGCUGCAUUGGUUUCAGUUGCACACAUCACUCAAUUCAUUGGUGGCCUCACUUUCUUUUGUGAAUUCUGCGAUCUGUUGAGGUUGUGAUUAGUUCACUUGGUCUAAUCAUGUUAGUACAGAACUAAAUAUCUGUCAAAAAUUUGCCCACUAUCUGAUGAAACUCCCUUCAAUGUUAUGAAGGAGGUAAACCUUGAUAACUGGGCAUCCUGUGUAGAAUAUGCAUGUUCUUUCAGCAUUGCUAAACCUGCACAGAACUUAAUUCGCUAAGUACGUCCUACUCCAUGAUGUAACUUGUGAUCUUGAUCUGAAUGAGCUAUAGUAUGUUCUACGUGGUAUGUUCAAUACAGUUAGUUUGUAGCUUGUGAUCUUGACGUGAAUGAGCUGUAGUAUGUUCCACUACAGUAGUAUGUUCAUUGCAGUUAGUUUGUACUGGAUCUAUCAGGGGUGUUAUGUAACUCAAGACAAGAAGAUGUUGCUUACCAUUUGCAAAUUGUUAAAUUAUUUCAUGGCGUCGGCUUAUGUUUGCUCCUUGCACUCACCAUCUCUAUGGUUGCUGUGUCAGGUGGGAGCAUGGAGUGUAUAGCCUUGCUUGUUUCUGCGACGGCCUGAUAAGCCGAUCGUGGGUAUCAGACCCCCUGGGAGUGGAUGCAGGACACUGGAUUUGCCAGUCAGGUAAAUUCAGUUCUCUAGCACAUGACAGAUUCGUGCAUAUCAAUCAUUUGGGCACGCAUAAUGCUAUAUCUGUUGUUAGAACUUAGCCCCUGUAUGGAAGGCACCUAUCGCAAAUGAAGGGCUAUGGUGUCAUUGCCAAACCACUAACUCGGUUAUUGAAGCAGAAGCAGUUUGAGUGGUCUACUUUAGCUCAGGAGGCUUUUUAGGCUUUGAAGCUAGCGAUGAGCUCUAAUCCUGUUCUCCUAUUGCCAGGCUUCAAUAAGCAACUCUAUCUGAAAACUGAUGCUUGUGUCGCAUGUAUUGGAGCAGUAGUUUCUCAAUAUGGGGGAGGGGGACGGGGGUGAGAGAGAGGUGUGGUCUCUCCAGCAUCCUAUACUGAGGUUCUGGGUAGAUCAAGAUCUGGAAGUGAAAAAUAUCUGACCAAAAAAAUCAAUCACAGCACAAAUAUCAAAGCUGAUCAAGGGCAGGAACAAAUUAGACUGAUUUUAAAUAAAUAGAACAAAUUAGACUGAUUUUGUUUUCAGAAGAAAAAAAACAGUGCAAAUUAUGUCGAGUAUGUUUAUCAUAUGCAUGGUCAAAACCACAAAUUACUCCUGAUCGGUCGAUGUGCAAACAAUGAGAUAAGGUAGGACACAUAUGCUGAUAUGAAUGCAUGGUUGAUAAGUACAUCAGAUACACGAACAUGGAGUAUGUAAACAGACAUAAUUGACUCUAAUUAAAUCCAUGGUCACUAUCAGUGAGGAUUAUUAACGUUUUCCUCACGAGGCAUAGGAACCCAAAUUGGUAUUUGGUUCUCUGCACAUAGCCCACUUUGAGUUCUUAAUCACGUCUGAGUACAAGAUUCCAACUAACAGCUUCCCUAGACUCCCAUUGUGAUCUUGAACUAACAUUCAUUUUGGAAGGUUAUCUUUAAGUAAGUUAUAAACAAUUAACGACAAUACAUACUCCUUUACCCUACUAUUUUUCUACAGGAAAGAUUUUCACCUGAAUAUAUAAAUAUUUCAAUUUUUCUCACACACUUGUUAGCUUCAUAAUUGCUUUUGUUGAACAAAUGCAGAUGAAGCACAUUUCAUCAACUCCCUUCUGUGAUGCCUCGGACGAAUUAGAAGUACAACUGGCUGAAGAAAAAGAAAUACAGGAGUACGUUAACACCAAAUAUCCUUCGGUGCACAACAUUCAGGUAAGUAGAUAUAUGCAACAGCUCCAGACAGAUUGCACGUACUAUUUUUUCUUAAACUCAAAGAGGAGCUUUCUGACUGCUUUUAUCCUACUAUAAAACUCUCUUUAACUCCCAUUACUCCAUUUUGAACUGGUGUCAGGAGAAGAAAAUGCUCGAACGUUGCAGUCAGAAGUUUUGGCAAACAAUUCUAAAAAAAACUCCAUACCAACUGUGAAAACUUACACCGAGGAUGUCCACAGCUCAAACUACACCAACAGUACCUCCAGUGAUAUAAGUCAUUCCAGAGCUACAAAAUUGCCAUCUACUUCAAACAUCCAGCUGUCUUCUGCUGCAACAAAUACUUGUGUACCACAGUUUACAAAAGAAUUGAAACCAGAGAUAGACUCAUUCUUAUCUUCCUUCGAUUUCUUGGAUUUUCCUAUGCCUGCUAAAUAUCCUCCAAGUUAUGAUUUGGAAAUCAGCAAUUUACAGAUCGAUUUGUUCAUCCACAAAUUCUCUGAAUGCUUAAAUCUGGACAUCUCAGCAAACAAUAAGCUUCUUUUCACUAUCGGCUCACCAAGUUCUCAGGUGUUAGAAUGACAAGAGGUUUUCAACAAAGACCAAACCAACAAAAUUUACAGCGAUAAUCAGACUACACCUUCGCAAGGUACCCAAUUUUUUUUGGCCAUUUCACUAUUAUUUGUUUAGUCCACAAACCUUCUUUUUAUCUAAGUACAUUUUCAGAUGCACCUUUGUAUAGUCUUUCAUGGAUGUAAUCCCUUUCUCUGUUUUCAAUAAAAUUAUAGUCCUAUUUGAAUCCAUGAAAAGGGACCCGGCGUGGAAGGAGUUGCAUGCUUCAGACCGCCUUAAUUUCAUACAGGAAAAGGUUAAAAGUGAAGCCUGCCCAUACCAGUUAUUAAGUUUGGGCAAUGCAUACAAUAAAAUUGGGCUUUAUUUGACCCAACUUUGGAGGCUUAAGGACGUGCGUGGAGGGGGACGAAACGUCCGCUUUAGCUGAUCGUUCCCACGGACGAUCAGUUCGCUGGGGAAUCAUAUUUCGCGCAUAAGUCGGUAUAUAGCUACCAGUUUCCGCGUAGUUCGCUGGGGAACCCCCCCCCCCCCUUACGCGUAGUCCUCUUCUGUGUCGGCCCGUUCCGGGAUCUUCCCCCUACCAGUUUUGGGAAGGUUCUAGAAACUUCCAUGAACCGUUUUUUCCUUUUUUAUAUUGUUUUUUCUUCUGCUUUUCCUUUCGUUUUCUUUUUUGUUUUUCCUUUUUUCUUUUCCGGGUCACGGACAUCUUUUCAAAUUCAUGAACAUUUUUUUGAAUUCGUGAACAUAUUUUUUAAAUCCUGAACCUUUUUUAAUUCGCGAACAUUUUUUAUGAAACUGUGACGAUUUUUCAAAUUGAGGAACAUUUUUUAUCUUUUGCGAACAUUUUUUUGAAAUUGUGAACAUUUUUUUGUAACCCGUGAACAUUAUUUUCAACCGGAGAACAUUUUUUGAAUCAAUGAAUAUUUUAUUGAAUCGGUGAACUUUUUUUGAAUCAGCGAACAUUUUUUGAAUCAAUGAGCACUUUUAGAAUCAUUGAACAUUUUUUUAAAUCAUGAUAAUUGUUUUUGGGAUAUUUAAAAAAUUCAUGAACUUUUUUUAAUUCACAAAUUUGUAUUUCAAAUUUACGAAGAUUUUUUUAAAAAUUAUGAACAUUUAUUUAAAAAAAUUUGGAAAAUUUUAAAAAUCCCGAAGUAUUUUAAAGAAGAUUAAAACAAAAAAACAAAAAACCAAAUGAAUAAAAUAGGAGGGGCAUCCCUGCCCGCUCAUGGGCCAGCCAAAUAGGGGCGAGCAUGACACACUGGCUCGUUGGCUAGCGCGUGACGCGCGGUAUAGGAGGUCCCCGGUUCGCCAGCAUCCCCUCCCCUGGGAAUGAUCGCCAGUUAUUAGGGUCCAUAUAAAAAAUCUAUAUUAUGAUGUUUGGACAUUGGUCUAUGUAAAAAAAAUUCUUUAACAAAGUAUGUACAAACUCGCUCCUAAAUGCUAUAUUACCUCCAUUUGAAUUACUUGUCUUGUACUCCCUCCGUCUCAAAAUAAGUGACUCAACUUUGUACUAGCUUUAGACGGAGGGAGUACUUUUUUUUGUGGGGUAACUAGUGCUUUAUUCAAAAUUCAAAAUUCAAAACAUCAAGGAUACAAGCAAUGUCUGGACUAACAGAAAGGGAAGAAAGCUCCCUUAGCAAUUGAAUGAGCUUCGAAAUUGGACUCUCUAUGCUCGAAACAGAAAGAAACACUAUCAAAAGAUCUAGUACUAAACUGAAUAUCUGGCGAGAUCAUAGCAUAUGGUGAAACAACUCCCUUCUUGAUGUUGCCGAGGACUUUCCAAACAGUCUUAGGCGAUGAUCAUUUAAUGUAGAUUAAGGUCGUGCGCAAGGGAAAUGCCUCUUUCUUCGCUGCAUGCUAGCACUUCCAGAGUAGCUUGAUCAACCAGACCCUCGAAAACAACCGUCGGGGCUCCCAAAUAGUUCCUUGCACCAUCUCUGCAGACCGCCGCCGCCGCCGCCACCCCUUUGUCUCCCAGAACUGAGAUACCUCCUUCCACAUUAAUCUUGCAUGCAUCACUAGGCGGAGGAAUCCAACGUCGUGGCCUUGUGAUGUUAACUUGUGGUUGCUGAGAACGCGCAUCGUCUCGGACCGCCAUAAUCUGGAGGUCCUCCAAGUACCUGUUAAGGCCUUGUACAAUGCAAGGUGCUUGAAGAAAUAAACCAAGUUUUUCUUAAGCACCGGUGCUUAUUUGUAUAGGGCAGACGCUUAAUUAGGCGUCUUUUUUGUAGAAAUAAGCACUGGUGCUUCAGAAAAACCCAAUUUAUUUUUCUAAGCACCUCCCUAAACAUCAUGGGCUAUUCGCUGUCUUGCCCGCCAAAUCGCCCCAUGGUAACCACAAACGAGUCACUCUAAUCUAGGCCCGGACCAGCCCAGACCAGCCCAGCCCAGCCCAGUCGCGUUUGUACCAGGCAAAUCUGGAGGAGGCUCAUCGUCUCGCCAUCGUUCCCCACUCCCUCGCCGCCGCCGCCGCCGCCGCCGCCGCCAUGCUCCGCCUCCGGAGCUGCGUCCUCGCCCAUCUCCUCUCCUCUCCCGCCACCUCCCCGCUCCCCUCUCUCCACCGCCUCCUCUCCGCCGCCGCCGCCUCCCCCAGCUCCGGCUUCUCCGUGGAGGAGUACCUCGUCUCCACCUGCGGGCUCACCCGAGCGCAGGCCCUCAAGGCCUCCCCCAAGCUCUCCCACCUGAGGUCCCCAUCCAAGCCCGACGCCGUCCUCGCCUUCCUCGCCGGCCUCGGCAUCCCCAGCUCCGACGUCGCGGCCCUAGUCGCCAGGGACCCCAAGUUCCUCUGCGCCAGCGUGGAGAGAACCCUGUUCCCCAUCGUCGACGGGCUCACCGGCCUCGGACUGUCGCCUUCCGAGAUCGCGCGACUCGUCCCGCUCACCGCCAACAACAACCACUCCCGCAACAAAUCCGUCGUCUCCAAGGUGGACUACUACCUGCGCCUCUUCGGCUCCUUGGAGGAAUUCCUCCGGGCAUUCAAGCAUAACCACAAUCUCCUCUCACACAACCUCGAGACGGUGGUCAAGCGGAAUGUCGGGUUGCUGCAGGAGUGCACGCUAGGUGCUUGCGACAUUGCCAAGCUUGCCAUCUCUAUGCCAAGGAUGCUCACCGCCAACGUGGAACAAAUCCGGGGGAUGGUGGCCGGUGCUGAACGUCUAGGUGUGCCUCGCGGCUCUGGGAUGUUCCGGCAAGCCAUGCGGAGUGUUGCGUUCGACAGCGAGGACAAGAUCGCCGCCAAAAUGGAAUACAUGAAGGAGACGUUUAGGUGGUCGGAUGCCGAGGUGCGCAUUGCUGUGUCCAAGGCUCCAAUGCUGCUCACCUUGGGCAAGGACCUGCUGCAGAGGAAGUCAGAGUUCCUCAUCUCCGAGGUUGGACUGGAACCACCAUACCUUGCUCAUCGCCCGAUAAUGCUCAGUUACAGCCUAGAGGGGCGGCUCAGGCCACGGUACUACGCUGUAAAGUUUCUCAAGGAAAACGGAUUGCUCAAGGGCAACCUGGGCUAUAAGACAAUUUGGGAUCUGGUUGAGAAAAUAUUCAUGGAGAAGUACAUAUGCCCUCACAUGGAGGCUGCACCACACCUUGCUGAAGACUAUGCGGCCGCAUGCAGAGGGGAAGCGCCAACUAGAUUCAGAUUUACUUGAACCAUCAAUGGGCUAUGAAAAUUGGCAAACUGUGUAGGGCGCUCAACAAGGUUUUCAUUCUGAGUAGCAAGCUGGUAAUUCCUAUUUUUGUGUUCUUUUCCUAACUGGAUGAUAUCUUUUAUCUGCUAUUGACUUUUGAACGCCAACUUGUCGAUGUAUUAUUCAGUAGAGAAGAAAGCAUCGCCUGCAAUCUCUGAAAAUGAUAGGUCCUGGAAUAUAUUUGUGUUUCUGACUUCCGUUUAAGAUCAUGGAAAUUGGAUGUGGGGGUGGAUCAAUUUUCUGUUGAAACCAGGAUCCAGCAAACCAGAAAGCAAAAGAACCAUUCUGUCCUGGUUUCCAUUAAAAACAUUGGUAUGAUAUGCUUUCAUGCUGAAUUCUAUCAGCAUGUCCCAUUUUUGUUUCAUCGUCUUCUUUGUUCCAUCAUAUUUCAGUUAGUACUAGCAGUUCAAUGUUCGAUUUUUAUACUAUGCUUAGGAAAUGUAUUUCUGUUGGGUGUACGUUUGCCUUUUUCUUCUUCCCUGUAUUCUUCAAAGAUUGAUAUGCUUUGUUCCUAAAUUCUAUGGUUGACAUUUGCUGGGAAACUUUUAACUGUGAAAAGCUGACCUAUCCGAGGCUAAAGCAUGAUCGUGAAAUGAAUUAAAUCGUGAGAACUAAACCAAAGAAGACGUCAUGAAUUAGUCUUAUCAUAUCUCUCUACUAUUCAAUACGGCACCCAAUCCAUUCAAGGAACCGCAAAUCCAGAACAUGCAGUGAGCUGAUACACAAUUAUGUUUGUUCAGCUAAGAUCAGGGUGUGCCCAGCAAAUGGUGAUUAAUGUGCCACCAUAUCAAGUUAAAUACAGAGCAAAUGAACAUUUGGAGAUUUGUUCAGAGAGGCUAAAUGGUGUUAGUUUCUAUUUCAAGUAUCAACACUGAUCCUGAGACUUGCAUGAUAAACUACUUUCACACUAGAACACUUGUUUUGCACUAACUCCGGGAUAGAUACUCAUGCUCUGAACUUUUCGUUUGUACCUCUAGGGGCACUUUGUGGAAUGGGCUGUCGAAAGCUUUGGCAACAAAGCUGCUAUUCAGUUUAUAGUUGAAUUUAGCAGCUGCUAAUGCAUGCAGUUUCUUUAUUAAAAAAAAGGAAAGCCCCAAAUGCCAGCGAGGGUUAUAUAACCUGUGAAUUAUGUCUUGCCCUUUUCAUGUGUACAACUAUGAUGUGCCCAAGAACUGGAGGACAUGAUCUCACUCACCAGCAGGUACAGACUAAACUUACGGCAUUAUAAUGGUUGCUGUUUCUGCUUUACGAAAUAGAUACCAAAUCAUGUUCUGCAUUUGUAACCGUCUCUUCCUUUAUAUUCCUCUUUUAUUUCUGAAUGGUCUAAUGGCUUCUGAUCUCAAAACUGAAUAGUGCAGUAGUAGGUAUUUUGUGUAGACCUGUCCACGAAGGUGUAGCAUAACAUAACAGAUAAUUUGAAAGCCCAUUCAUCUCUGUGUAGACCUGGCCACUUGGUCGCCGAACUGAACAUCGAGUCGUACUUACUCCGAAAAUGAUAGGUCAUGUCCUGUUAGUGCAGACCACUUUUAUGUCCUCAAACAUUUGCCACCCCUGAUGCCAUUCAUCUCUGUUACGGUUUUCUCAUUACCUGCAGAAUUUUGGAUCUUAGUGCAAAUGUUACUUGGAAAGCUUCUCCUGUUGUAUACCCAAGUUGGCACACACUUUUUGCAACUGCCCAUUUCUUAGUUGAUGUGUAAUUCUUACUCAAAAUAAAUACAUAAUAGAUUUUUAUCUCAUUUAAUCAGCAAUAAGAGGUUCUUAGACUGGGUGUCUUCUAUUAAAAAAAAAGUGCUACUUUGGCUAGAUUGAUGACUUACCAGAAAGAGCAACAAAUCUGAUAUAUAUAUAUAUAUUUACUAAUUUGAUGCUCUUUUGAAGCCUCCACAUUAAUCCAUGGAGAUCAGCAACUAUGACUGCCGUCUUUGCUGCGGAAGAUCUAGACCCUCGGAUCAGAAGAUGCACCCUCAGAUGGUGUAGGCCUUGCUAGUCAUGUCCUGAGUCCUCACGCAGGCCUUGCUCGUCACCUCCUUUACAAUGCUGCGAAGUAAGGAAGCUUGUAGAAGUAUCCGUGUGUCAUUCCUUUACCAUCACGCUUGCGAGUUCCAGUUUAGAUUUUUUAUCCUUGCAUAUCAUGUGUUCGCUCGUAAUAGUAAUAAUGUCUCAUGAGUUUUAACUGCCCUGAUUUGUUUCCUCUACAAACUGUACAUCUCCAAUCCAGAUAAAUAAGGUUUGCAUGCUCUCCUCUAUGAUUGUAGGUGCUUAAAAUCUACUUUGAUUAAAAAAUGAAUUGGACAACGCCCAACGCUACAUCUGUAAUUACGACUUCACCAAAAGGGCUAAAAACCAACUCAAAAAAAAAACCAACUCAAAAAAGAAAAGAAACGAAAAAACCUAAGAAAAAAAGGAACACCUCACUUUUCCUCUCAGUUCUCCUCACCUCGUCACCUACCUUCACUACCCUUAUCACUUCACUGUCUCCCCACUUCUCCCUGUGGCCACAAGCCAACAACUCUCUCUCUCUACCUCCUCGGGUCGCCCCUCCUCUUCGUCUCCACAGCCGACGCGAGGUCUCGCACCCCCUCUCCCCACUCUUCUCCGCACUUCCUCGUCGAACCGGUCUCUGAAGUGCCCGAGGAUCUGCUCGAUUUCGGCAUGCUCGCUGGCUGACCCAGUGCUAGGCGUGGACGAAGGCCGACGCGGAGGCGCGGGACUCGUCUCCACCAGAUCGGCAGCUGUGGCAAUCGUGCAUCCGAAGCUCCGCGGCCCGGCUCCGUGCCUUCCUCUUCAUCUCGCUCGCCCGACGCUUGGAGCGUCUGCUCGUCGUCGGCUCCCACCACCCUGUGCGUGCGGCUGUGUUGUGCCCUGCCCUGCCCAGUGUUGGAAAUAUGCCCUAGAGGCAAUAAUAAAAUGAUUAUUAUUAUAUUUCCUUGUUCAUGAUAAUUGUCUAUUGUUCAUGCUAUAAUUGUAUUAACCGGAAACAAUGAUACAUGUAUGAAUACAUAGACCACAAGAUGUCCCUAGUGAGCCUCUAGUUGACUAGCUCGUUGAUCAACAGAUAGUCAUGGUUUCCUGACUAUGGACAUUGGAUGUCAUUGAUAACGGGAUCACAUCAUUAGGAGAAUGAUGUGAUGGACAAGACCCAAUCCUAAGCAUAGCACAAGAUCGUGUAGUUCGUUUGCUAAGAGCUUUUCUAAUGGCAAGUAUCAGUUUCUUAGACCAUGAGAUUGUGUAACUCCCGGAUACCGUAGAAGUGCUUUAACUGGGUGACUAUAAAGGCACACUACAGGUAUCUCCGAAAGUGUCUGUUGGGUUGGCACGAAUCGAGACUGGGAUUUGUCACUCCGUAUGACGGAGAGGUAUCUCUGGGCCCACUCGGUAAUGCAUCAUCAUAAUGAGCUCAAUGUGACCAAGUGGUUGGUCACGGGAUCAUGCAUUACGUAACGAGUAAAGUGACUUGCCGGUAACGAGAUUGAGCGAGGUAUUGGGAUACCGACGAUCGAAUCUCGGGCAAGUAAUGUAUCGAUUGACAAAGGGAAUUGUAUACGGGAUUACUUGAAUCCUCGACAUCGUGGUUCAUCCGAUGAGAUCAUCGUGGAACAUGUGGGAACCAACAUGGUUAUCCAGAUUCCGCUAUUGGUUAUUGGCCGGAGAGCUAUCUCGGUCAUGUCUGCAUGAUUCUCGAACCCGUAGGGUCUAUACACUUAAGGUUCGGUGAUGCUAGGGUUAUUAGGAAGACUUGUAUGUGAUUAUGGAAUGUUGUUCGGAGUCCCAGAUGAGAUCCCGGACGUCACGAGGAGUUCCGGAAUGGUCCGGAGGUGAAGAUUUAUAUAUGGGAAGUUGUAAUACGGUCACCGAAAAGUUUCGGGGUCAUACCGGUAUUGUACCGUGGCCACCGGAUGGGUUCCGGGGGUCCACUGGGAGGGCCACCUCUCCCGGAGGGCCUCAUGGGCCAUGGAGGGAAGGGAACCAGCCCCUAGUGGGCUGGGCGCAUCACCCCCCUUGGGCCCAUGCGCCUAUGGUUGGGGGGAAAACCCUAAGGGUGGCGCCCCCCUUGCUUGGGGGGCAAGUCCCACCCCCCCCCUUGGUCGCCGCCCCCCUCUAGAUCUCAUCUAGAGGGGGCCGACCCCCUUCCUCCUUCCCCUAUAAAUAGAGGGGCGAGGGGAGGGCUGCACAGACACCUCCAAGGCGCAACCCCUCCCCUUCCCAACACCUCUCCUCCUCCGCAAAAGCUUGGCGAAGCCCUGCCGGAGUACUGCAUUUCCAUCACCACCACGCCGUCGUGCUGCUGCUGGAGCUUACUUCCUCAACCUCUCCCUCCUCCUUGCUGGAUCAAGGUGCGGGAGACGUCUCCGCUCCGUACGUGUGUUGAACGCGGAGGUGUCGUCCGUUCGGCACUAGGAUCUUAGGUGAUUUGGAUCACGACGAGUACGACUCCAUCAACCCCGUUCUCUUGAACGCUUCCGCUCACGAUCUACAAGGGUAUGUAGAUGCACUCCUAUCUCUCUCGUUGCUAGAUGACUCCAUAGAUUGAUCUUGGUGAUGCGUAGAAAUUUUUUAUUCUCUGCAACGAUCUCCAACAGUGGCAUCAUGAGCUAGGUCUAUGCGUAGUUUCUAUGCACGAGUAGAACACAAUUUUGUUGUGGGCGUAGAUUUUGUAAAUUUACUUGCCACUACUAGUCUUAUCUUGUUUCGACGGCAUCGUGGGAUGAAGCGGCCCGGACCGACCUUACAUGUACGCUUACGUGAGAUAGGUUCCACCGACUGAAAUGCACUAGUUGCAUAAGGUGGCUAGCGGGUGUUUGUCUCUCCCACUUUAGUCGGAUCGGAUUUGAUGAAAAGCGUCCUUAUGAAGGGUAAAUAGAAAUUGGCAUAUCACGUUGUGGUUUUGGCAUAUGUAAGAAACGUUCUUGCUAGAACCCUAUAGCAGCCACGUAAAAACUCGCAACAACAAUUAGAGGACGUCUAACUUGUUUUUGCAGCAUAUGCCUUGUGAUGUGAUAUGGUCAAAAGGAUGUGAUGAAUGAAAUAUAUGUGAUGUAUGAGAUUGAUCAUGUUCUUGUAAUAGGAAUCACGACUUGCAUGUCGAUGAGUAUGACAACCGGCAGGAGCCAUAGGAGUUGUAUUUAUUUAUUGUAUGACCUGCGUGUCACUGAAUAACACCAUGUAAUUACUUUACUUCUUUGCUAAACCGUUAGCCAUAGUAGUAGAAGUAAUAGUUGGCGAACAACUUCAUGGAGACAAGAUGAUGAAGAUCAUGGUGUCAUGCCGGUGACGAUGAUGAUCAUGGUGCCCCAAAGAUGGAGAUCAAAGGAGCAAAAAUGAUAUUGGCCAUAUCAUGUCACUAUUUGAUUGCAUGUGAUGUUUAUCAUGUUUCUGCAUCUUAUUUGCUUAGAACGACGGUAGUAAAUAAGAUGAUCCUUCAUAACAAUUUCAAGAAAGUGUCCCCCCCUAACUGUGCGCCGUUGCGAAAGUUCAUUGUUUCGAAGCACCACGUGAUGAUCGGAUGUGAUAGAUCCUAAUGUUCACAUACAACGGGAAAAGAUGGUUAGGUGGUCGCAUGGCAUUGGAGAAGGGCGCGUGGUGGUGGAGGAGGAGGAGGAGGAGGAGGAGGAGCUCGGGCGGAGGAGGAGCUCGUCCACACCCGCGAGUAAGCCUCUCCUCGCCUCGCUGGGGAGACGAUGGUUAGGUGGUCGCCGCCGCCGCCGCGGGACGUCGAGCUUCUCCCCUCCCUGGGCGCCCACGACGCCGUCUCGCCGCAAGACCAAGGCGGUCAGCCAGGAGCCGGCCGCGGACGCCCAGGCCUCCGACGCCUUCGAGAGCCAGGGCGGCGAGGAAGGGGAGAAGGAAGGGGCGGCUCGCCGGAGCGAGGAGCAGGGGAGAGAGGAGAGAGAGUAGAGGAGCAAGGAGCAGGGGGCGGCGGGGCAUGCGGGAGAGAGAGGAGAGAGCUUUGUCUUCUUUUGCAUGCACAAUGUGGUGGGCCUAGCAAGGAAAAAGGAGGAGAGAGAGACUAGAGAGGCUGACAGUGGGCCUUUUGUAGUUAAACUAUAGCGCCGGCGCCCCCAGCUGCUCCCCGACGUGCUGGGUUUGCCUUGCGCGUGCCGGCCAUAACUUUCGUCAAAACCGGCGCAAAACUGGUUCCUGAGACCCGAGUGGGUCGUGUUUUGCCCGCCGGUGUCUAAAAAUGCGCCUGGGGAGGCUUCUUGAGGGCCUGGCUGGAGAUGCUCUAAAGGGAGAGAGGGGGAAUGAAGGAGAGGGAGAGGGGGAAGGAAAGCCCCCCCCUUCCUUGUCCUAUUCGGACUCAAGGGGAGGGGGCGCGUGGUCUGCCCUGGCCGGCCCCUCUCUCUCUCUCCACUAGGCCCCAUCGAGGCACAUUGGUUCCCCCGAGGGUUCCGGUUCCCCUGAUGUGCCUGUUGUUGUUGCAAACGUUACUAUCUUAACAGACUUUGUCAUUCUUGAUAUUCCUGAGGACGACAAUAUGUUGAUUAUCCUCGGUAGACCCUUUUUGAAUACUGCAGGAGUUGUUAUUGAUCGCAACAAAGGCAAUGUCACCUUUCAUGUUAAUGGAAAUGAGCACACAAUACAUUUUCGGAGGAAACAACCUCAAGUUCAUAGCUUAAAUUCUAUUGAGAAAAUUCCAUCAAUCAUUAUCGGAGGUUUUGAAUUUCCUUCCCUACUGUCAAGAAAAAGUAUGAUAUUCUUAUUAUUGGGGAUAUCCAUAUCCCCGUUGAGGUAACCUAGUGUCACUUCGAAAUUUCUCCGGUUCCGUGUUAUUCUGAAUGAGUUUGUUAACAAGACUUGAUCAACCUUGUUAGUGGAUUCAUUUUGAUGAUCAUGAGAUGGAUGAAACUAGAAGGCACAACCUUCUGUACCCUCUUUUUACUUUCUGUUAUUUAAAUUAAAUAAAGCAAAAAUAAUAUUAUUUGUCUGUUUUCUGAAUUAUCCAUGCAAUGAAAAAUAUCCCGAAAAUAAAAGUGCUCCAAAUGCCCUAUAAAUUUAGUAUGAUUUUUUAUGGAAUAUUUGAGGAUUUUAGGCACUGAAAUCACUGCAGGAGGGGCAAGCACCAGGCCACGAGAGUGGAGGGCGCGCCCACCCCUCUGGGCGCCCCCCUGUCUCGUGGCCCCCUGGUGGCCCCCCUCCACUUAUGCCAGCACCCACACACUCUAUCUUCUUCAAAAAAAAUCCCCAUCCAGCUCAAGCACGAGUUUUAGCUCAUUUUGCUGCGAUUUUCGAUCUCCUUGCUCAAAGCUCUAUUUACAAAACUGCUUUGGGAGAUUGUUGCUUGGUAUGUGACUUCUCCAUUGGUCCAAUUAGUUUUUGUUCUAGUGCUUUAUUCAUUGCAAAUCCUUGCUGUCUUCGUGACCCUGUUCUUGAGCUUGCAUGUUAAAUUUAUGAGGUCCCAAGUAACUCUGAUGCAUGAUGUAGGCUAUGGCACUUGUAGGAGUAGUUGCUAUUAAUCUUGUUUAGUUUUAUUCACUUUUAUUUUGAAGUUACUAAAAUUUCAGAAAUUUUCAGAAAAUGUUAAAGAGAUUUUUGAGGGGCUCUUCUAGCCAAGGCUACCAGGAUAAACAAGUUAAAAAGAAGGAAAAUGCCAAGUAUAAUCUUCCUCGCAUAGCGGAAGUACGGCCGUGUGAAUGGCCAUGCGAUGAUUAACCGGUGGCAGUACGAUGACACACCUCAGUACACCGGGGAGAGUAGCCGCUAUCCAUGGCCAUAAACCAACUUAGGCCAAAAUCCUAAGCUUGGGAGUACGUAUUUCACACCGACUUUACAUUCAUGUUCACACACUAUUCUAGUCGUCGGUGCUCAUACUCUUUCAUUGUAUUAUCUAUGCUAGUUUAAUUUUCUUUUUCUAGUUUUCUUCUUGUGUGUUUGAUAAACCUUAAGAAAAACCAAAAAAAUUAGUUAGUUUAAUUUCCAUGCUUGUAGUAGAAAUUAAAAUGAAAACCCAAAAAGAUUUCUCAUUCUUCUUUUACUUGUUGGGAGAUCUCCCGUGUAAAUAGUUUUAUUUUCUUUUCUUUCCUUUGAGGGGUUGAGAGCAGAAGACUAUAUUGAAAUUGUUUAGUGGCUCUCAUAUGCAUGAUUGUUUAUUUAACUUAGAGCCCAUAUUACUUUGUCUUCUCUCUUGAGUUGAAUGCUUGUAGAUUCCAGCUUAGUCCAAUGCACGUGCACUCUUAUUAUUAUACACAUCGUUCGGUCGUGCAAGUGAAAGGCAAUAAUGACGAUAUAUGAUGGACUGAUUGAGAUGAGAAAACCUGGUAUGAACUCGACCUCUCUUGUUUUUAUAAAUAUGAUGAGUUCAUCGUUCCUGAUUUAGCUUAUUAUGAAGUAAACAUAUUUGCAAUAACAUUUAAAGAUUAUAGUUGCUUGUGCCAUGCUUGAUUAGCUAUGGGUUAUAAUGGUUUACCUUGCGUGCCAACAUGCUAUUAGAAUGAUUAUGAUGUGGUAUGCUGAGAUGGUAUCCUUUUUUGAAUGAAUUGAGUGACUCGACUUGGCACAUGUGCAUGCAUGUAGUUGAAAUAAAAUCAACAUAGCCUUCACGAUAUUUAUGUUGAUGGUGGAUUAUAUCCUACUCAUGCUUGUACUCGGUGCGAAUUAAUUUUAAUGCAUGUUCAUGACUGUUGUCGCUCUCUCAGUUGGUCGCUUCCCAGUCUUUUGCUAGUCUUCACCUGUACUAAGCGGGAAUACUGCUUGUGCAUCCAAACUCCUUAAACCCCAAAGUUAUUCCAUAUGAGUUCACCGUACCUUCUUAUAUGCGGUAUCUACCUACCGUCCCAAGUAAAUUUGUAUGUGCCAAACUCUAAACCUUCAAAUGAAAUUCUGUUUGUAUGCUCGAGCAGCUCAUGUUUCAACUAGGGCUGCCUAUAUCCUCCAUGCUAGGUGGGUUAUUCUCAAGAGGAGUGGACUCCGCUCCUCAUUCACGAGAAAGGGCCGGUAAUCAGGAUGCCCAGUCCCAUGAUCCAAAAAUAUCAAAGCAAAUCAAUAUAAUUAAACAAAACUCCUCUAGGGCUGUUGUUAGUUGGAGGCACUCGUUGUUUCGAGCAAGCCAUGGAUUGAUGCUUGUUGGUGGUGGGGGAGUAUAAACUUUUACCAUUCUGCGUGGGAACUGCCUAUAAUGCAUGUAGUAUGGAAGAUACAACCAUCUCAUAGUUGUUGCGUUGACAAUGAAAGUAUGCCGCCCAAAAUAUUAUUCAAUCUCUAUUUUAAAAUCGAGCUCUGACACCUCUACAAAUCCCUACUUCCCUCUAUGAAGGGCCACUUUUAUGUUGAGUCAUCACCUUCUUAUUAAAAAGCACCCGCUGGAGAGCACACUGUCAUUUGCAUUCAUUAUUAUUGGUUUAUAUUGGGUAUGACUUGACUGGAUCUCUUUUACCAUGAAUUACAAUGUUUAGUUAGUCCUUGAUCUUUAAAGGUGCUCUGUAUUUAUGUUUUGCGGUCUCAGAAAGGGCUAGCGAGAUACCAUUUCGUUAUAUCAUGUUAUGAUUGUUUUGACAAAGUGUUGUCAUCCGAGUUUUAUUAUUAUGGAUCGCUAGCUGAUUAUGCCAUUGAUAUGAGUGAUUGUGAGACCUAAGUGUUAUUGUGAGUAUGGUUAGUUUAUAAUAUUUGCUGAAACCUGAAUGCUGGCUUUGCAUGUUUACAACAACAAGAGCAAAUAGAGUUUGUAAAAGUUUUUAUUUAUCGCUUUCAGUUUAUCAACUAAAUUGCUUGAGGACAAGCAAAGGUUUAAGCUUGGGGGAGUUUAUACGUCUCCAACGUAUCUACUUUUCCAAACACUUUUGCCCUUGUUUUGGAAUCUAACUUGCAUGAUUUGAAUGAAACUAACCCGGACUGACGCUGUUUUCAGCAGAAUUACCAUGAUGUUGUUUCAUGCGUAGAAAACAAAAGUUCUCGGAAUGACCUGAAAAUCCUCAGAGACAAGUUUCAGAAAAUAUAAAAAUACUGGCAAAAGAUGAAGACCAGGGGGCCCACACCUUGUCCACGAGGGUGGGGGCGCGCCCACCCCCUCUGGGCGCGCCCCCUGUCUCGUGGGCCCCCUGCAACUCCGCCGACCUCAACUCCAACUCCAUAUAUUCCGUCUCGCGGAGAAAAAAAUCAGAGAGGGCUGAUCUGGAGUUUUACGAUAUGGAGCCACCGCCAAGCCCUAAUCUCUCUCGGGAGGGAUGAUCUAGAGUCCGUUCGGGGCUCCGAAGAGGGGGAUUCGUCGCCGUCGUCAUCAUCAACCAUCCUCCAUCACCAAUUUCAUGAUGCUCACCGCCAUGCAUGAGUAAUUCCAUCGUAGGCUUGCUGGACGGUGAUGGGUUGGAUGAGAUUUACCAUGUAAUCAAGUUAGUUUUGUUAGGGUUUGAUCCCUAGUAUCCACUAUGUUCUGAGAUUGAUGUUGCUAUGACUUUGCUAUGCUUAAUGCUUGUCACUAGGGCCCGAGUGCCAUGAUUUCAGAUCUGAACCUAUUAUGUUUUCAUGAAUAUAUGUGUGUUCUUGAUCCUAUCUUGCAAGUAUUCAGUCACCUAUUAAGGACAGUAAAACUGAGCCUAAACCGAGCUCUCCCAGCGAUUAGCGUUUUAACAAUAACCGGGAUACUUCUCGGUGAUGACCGUAGUUUGAGGAGUUCAUGUAUUCACCAUGUGUUAAUGCUUUGGUCUGGUUAUCUAUUAAAAGGAGGCCUUAAUAUCCCUUAGUUUCCACUGAGGGUAGGACAAAAGAUGUCAUGCAAAUUCUUUUCCAUAAGCACGUAUGACUAUAUUCGGAAUACAUGCCUACAUUACAUUGAUGAAUUGGAGCUAGUUCUGUGUCACCCUAUGUUAUAGCUAUUACAUGAGGAAUCGCACCCGACAUAAUUAUCCAUCACUGAUCCAUUGCCUAUGAGCUUUUCACAUCUUGUGCUUUGCUUAUUUACUUUUCUGUUGCUAUUGUUACAAUCACUACAAAACUCAAAAAUACUAAUUUUGCUAUCGUUAUCAUUACUAUCAUACUACUUUGCUACUAAAUACCUUGCUGUAGACACUAAGCUAUCCAGGUGUGGUUGAAUUGACAACUCAACUGCUAAUACUCAAGAAUAUUCUUUGGCUCCUCUUGUGUCGAAUCAAUAAAUUUGGAUUGAAUACUCUACCCUCGAAAGCUGUUGCGAUCCCCUACACUUGUGGGUCAUCAUAGCGCGGGCAGGGAGAAGCACUACUACUAGUUACCAGUAGCGCUUCCCUGGGAAAGCGCUACUACUAAGUCGAUUUAGCAGCAGCGUGGGUUGAGGCACGCUACUGCUAACCUUUAGCUGUAGCGUCGUACCAGUAGCGCUCCAGCCCGCGCUACUGAUAGGCCUAAAACCCGCGCUGCUGCUAGGCUUUUCCCUAGUAGUGAUAUAGAGGUUCAUUUAGGUCCGACCACUUCCUUAAAUUCUCAUAUUUGAAGAGUUCAGAUUUGGGAGAGCAUUGGAGUGGUUAUAUGAUAGGGGGUUCGGCUAAGAGAUGCCCUUAACUAGCACAAUGCAAAUGUCAUUAUUAUUUUGGCGGAGAAUAUGUGAAUGUCAUCAUCGUCUCCGAGAUAGACAUUUGCUUGUUACUGGUUUAUUUGGAUUACUUACUACCUUCUAGUGUUUACAUGUGCUUAAGUAUUUGGAUUAUUGGCUCACCAAGUUCUCAGGUGUUAGAAUGACAAGAGGUUUUCAACAAAGACCAAACCAACAAAAUUUACAGCGAUAAUCAGACUGCACCUUCGCAAGGUACCCAAUUUUUUUGGCUAUUUCAUUAUUAUUUCUUUAGUCCACAAACCUUCUUUUUAUGUAAGUAAAUUUUCAGAUGCACUUUCAUAUAGUCUUUCAUGGAUGUAAUCCCUUUCUCUGUUUUCAAUAAAAUCGUAGUCCUAUUCGAAUCCAUGAAAAGAGACCCGGCAUGGAAGGAGUUGCAUGCUUCAGACAGCCUUAAUUUCAUACAGGAAAAGUUUAAAAAUGAAGCCUGCCCAUACCAGUUAUUAAGUUUGGGCAAUGCAUACAAUAAAAUGGGGCUUUAUUUGACCCAACUUUGGAGGCUUAAGGACGUGCGUGGAGGGGGACGAAACGUCCGCUUUAGCUGAUCGUUCCCACGGACGAUCAGUUCGCUGGGGAAUCGUAUUUCGCGCGUAAGUUGGUACGUACUCCCUCCGUUCCAAAAUAGAUGACCCAACUUUGUAUUAACUUUGAUCUAUUUUGGAACGAAGGGAGUAGCUACCAGUUUCGCGCGUAGUUCGCUGGGGAACACCCCUCCCACCCCCCCUUCUUAUGCGUAGUCCUCUUCUGUGUCGGCCCGUUCCGGGAUCUUCCCCCUACCAGUUUUGGGAAGGUUCUAGAAACUUCCAUAAACCGUUUUUCCUUUUUUAUAUUGUUUUUUCUUUCCUUUUCUUUUUUCCUUUUUCCUUUUUCCUUUUCCGGGUCACGGACAUCUUUUCAAAUUCAUGACUAUUUUUCAAAAUCAUGAUUUUUUUUUGAAUUCAUGAACAUAUUUUUAAAUUGUGAACCUUUUUUAAUUCACGAACAUUUUUUAUGAAACUAUGACGAUUUUUCAAAUUGAGGAACAUUUUUUAUCUUCCGCGAACACAUUUUUUUGUAAUUCAUGAACAUUAUUUUGAACCGGAGAACAUUUUUUGAAUCAAUGAACAUUUUGUUGAAUCGGCGAACUUGUUUUGAAUUAAUGAGCACUUUUAGAAUCAUUGAACAUUUUUUGAAAUCAUGAUAAUUGUUUUUGGGAACAUUUAAAAAUUCAUGAACUUUUUUUGAAUUCACAAAUUUUUAUUUCAAAUUCACGAAGAUUUUUUCAAAAUUAUGAAGAUUCAUUUUUAAAAAUUGCAACUUUUUAAAAAGCCCAAGGUAUUUUAAAGAAGAUGAAAAAAGAAAAAACAAAAAACCAAAUGAAAAAAUAGGAGGGGCAUCCCGGCCCGCUCAUGGGCCGGCCAAAUAGGGGUGCGCAUGAGGGGAGGACGUGCACGCUGGCUCAUUCGCUAGCGCGUCAUGCGCGUCCCCUCCCCUGAGAACGAUCGUCAGUUAUUAGGUUCCAUAUCAAAAACCUAUAUUACGAUGUUUGGACAUUCGUCUACGUAAAAAAAACAAAUUUUCUUUAGCAGAGCAUGUACAAACUUGCUCCUAAAUGCUUUAUACAUAUCCUCCAUUCCGAAUUACUUGUCUUGGAUUUUUUUAGGGGUAACUAGGGCUUUAUUGAAAAUUGAAAAUUCAAAAUUCAAAACAUACCGACCAACAGAAAAUGGAAGAAGCUCUCUUCUUGAUGUUGCUCGAAGCAGAAAGAAACAUUAUCAAAAGAUCUACUACUAAACUGAAUAUCUCGCGAGAUCAUAGCAUAUGGUGAAACAGCUCCCUUCUUGAUGUUGCCGACGACUUUCCAAACAGUCUUAGGCGAUGAUCAUUUAAUGUGGAUUAAGGUCGUGUGGAAGGGAAAAUGCCUCUUUCCAAACAGUCUUAGGCGAUGAGAAGAAGAUCGCAGCCAAAGUGGAUCACCUCAAGAGGACGUUAGGGUGGUCGGACGCCGAGGUGAGCAUUGCUCUGCCUAAGGCCCCGUAUUUGCUCGCCAAGUCGAACGAAUCGCUGCAAUACAGCUCCGAGUUCCUCAUCUCUGAGGUGGGGUUGGAACCGGCUUGCUCAGCGGUCAGUAAUCCUCUGUUACAGCCUAGAGGGCCGGAUGAGACCUCGGUACUAUGUUGUGAAGUUUCUCAAGGAAAAUGGGACGACGCGACAUAGGUGUGCGGACGAGCUCAACGGUGGUAUGCCGGCAGCAGCUUGAGUUUAAGCUGCAGCGUGUGGCUGUACAAUGCUAUAUUCGUUGAGGACAAGAUACAAAUUACAUGAUGUGAAACACAUCAUAGCUUGUGUUCAUAUGGAACUUAGGUUGGGGAAUCCUAAAUAAUUGUAGAUCUAAUAAGGUCAUGUGAUCGUUAAGAUCGAAUGACCUUCCUUUCUUGCUUCUUGAUGAUUUCUAGUGACCGAAACUUCGUACCAGGUGUAGAAAUGAAGUAUGUCUACCAGAGGGGGGAUGGUGAACAAGUAAUGCUAACUCUUCAUUCAGAGAUAAAUCUCUCGCAGCGAAGAAGAUCACAGUCUCUUGCUGAGAAGUAUUUUCUCGGGACACAAAAAUAUUUCUCUCUCAACUCACAUAGGAUUGGGUUUAGCAUUUAAAUUUGUUAAUUGUCUUAAGAAAAGUUACAUCAAAACCAGGAUUUCAGUUGGCCAUGCAUGCUAUAAUAGGGUUGAACCCUCUAAAGCUUGCGAACUUACGGUGCCAACUCACAUACAAAGACUCACUUUGUAGAUCACAACGUUUACAUUUGCAUUCUCUCUCUUUAAUAACCUCCAACCAAACAAGCCAGAGAGGAAAAUACCAAAUCUUUGUAACUUAUUAAGACAUUAUUGGUCUGCGUGCAUUGAUGAAACAUAGGCAAUAGUGCAUCUUUAUAAAUUACAAACGAUGGAGCAAGUGUAUGAGUUUCUUUUUUGGCAAGCAUGGACUGAAAUGUACCCGAUGAACAUAGCCAGUUCAGUGACCAUGCUCUAGCAUGGCCUUUUGAUCUCUCCAUGCAUGUUGAAGCUAGCUAAGUACGUAGGAUUGAGAGGCAACCGGGAGCAAACACACACUUUCAUGGAAGGGAUAACCUCAUUCUCUAGAUAGCUAAUCAGCCUUGUGAUGAGAAGAAGUUAUGUGGGCUAGUCCAUUCCAUCAUUUGCCUGUAGACAUCCCCAUCCUUUCUUUACAAGUACCACCGCUUCUCAUGUUGACCAAGGUCAACGCCACGUGUCUCUGGCAACUUCGUCUAGGUGAUUCUCAGCCAGCUCAUUGCGAUGCCUGUUCUCCGUGGUGAGUUGACUACUAGUGCAGUUGCAUGUGGCGCUGGCAGUUUAAAUCAGUAAUGACCAUCUUCUCCUUCACUGGAUCCUCGCAAUGAAAAUAUCUGAUACAUGUACGCAACACUUCUGUUGGUCUAGCAGGUUUCCCAUGUGUCAGUUCAUUGUGAAUGUGCCAAGUCCUCCAACGAGUCUUGAGCAGCUUCAUGCGCCCCAUCUCCGACUGUGUGGGCUGUAAUUUGAAACUUUAAUGGCCUUUUCUUAUUAGGACUUGCUUAUAUGUUCUUGUGGAGAUGAUGCUACUUGCUUAUAGUAGUACAUACGUUUCCCGAAGUCUAGAUAAAUAUACACAAAACAUGUUAUGUAAAGAGAUGCAUGCAACAAUUGCACAUACGCACGUGGAGCUCUGCACGCAUGUCGCGCUAAGAGCAACUCCAACGCGCCGACCCAUUUUGUGGCGACUUCUCUUCUCUCUCUAUCAACUAAGCAAAAAUAUAUUACUUAAAGUCGUAUAACCCGCCUAUAUGCCCUUAUUGAAGUUUGGUCGCUCCCAACUACCGUUACUUCUGCUUACUAAUUACUUGAUGCUCAUAUAUGUGCACACAGUCAGAUCGAGUAGGUGUCAUGCUCACUUUUCGUUAGCAAAGAUUUAGCUGAGUUUGGGCUUUCACUUGGAUUUAUGUGUGGUCACGUUCUGUAUUCCCAGCUGGCAUCCUUUCUGUAGCUUUGUUCUUGAUACUGUUUUUUUUAUUUUCAUGGAGGCGAUGGUUGAGGUCUUGAGGAGGUCGCUUAUGGACUAUGUGCGGGGGUUGCACCCUUUUCUUCAAUCUACAAAGUUCACAUGAUGCAAUCCUCCUGCAUGGUUUAAAAAAAAAAGAACAGAUCCUCACAGAGAUGGAGAGCUCAGAGAGGAGGGCGAUUGGAGAAAGAAGGCAAGUAAUGGAUGAAGUUGUUUUGAAAAUCUAGCGGAGAAAAACUGGAAGAUUUUUUUUUUGAGUGAUGCAAGGCACACACAUGAACUACCUAAAAUGAAUCAAAUGAUCAUGGCUAGGCUAGCUCAUAGAUCAUGCACGCUGUAUCCAUGCAUGCAUGUUAGGACAAAGCUAGCUAGGCUUGAGAGGCAACCAAAUAACUAAGGCAUGCUAAGACGUUACAAGUGUAGGUACGUCCUUUUUAUGCCACGGGUAGGUACACCCUCUUAUCUAGCACCGCACAAGACGUUACAAGUGUGUUCAUACACAUCUGGUGUAGAUGUACUUUUUGAUUUCAGAGAGUUUAGUUUUGGUUUUGCACCAGUGUAAUUGUCAGAUUGACAGCUAAUUUAUGCGCAAAGGAAAAGAUUGACAGCCAAUUCUCAAGCGACUGAGAGUUAGCAAAUCUAUAUUUCUUUUUCUUUUGACCGGAAGAAACAUCUUUGUUGAUUAUAAACACAGGAAUCUUUUACAACAAUGCAGAAUCUUAGAUACCCACAAAAUUGGAAAUGUGUUUACUCGCUUGCUUUGGCAUGCAUGCGUGUGCCUCUCUCUCUGUGUGUGUGUGUGUGUGACUUACUUUAUCAGAAUUCGAGGUCAAAUAUACGCGAAAAAUUAUACAUAGGGAGAUGCAUGUCACAGUUGUGCACGCAUUGAAGAAGCCAGACCCAUGUGUUGUCCUACUGAAGUUUGAUUGCUUCCAACUUGAACUACUUGUACUGCUGCUUACUAAUUACAUGAAGCGCAUCAGGUAUAUAAGCAUAGAGUCAGAUUGUGUGGAAGAUCAUAUACAGCAGAUAACAUACAUCACUCGAGUCUGACUGUCUGAAGGUUACUUCUUAGCCUUCUUACCUACGCUAACAUCAAAAUAGCUCUACUUUACACUCAUGUUCGUGGUUUCAUCACAUUCUGGCUACUGGGUUGGGGCUUGGGAGGCACCCGGAAUUCAGGGUAUACCGUGAGAUCCGUCGGAUGUGGUCGUUCGCUGUUGCUAUGCUUCGUUGGAAAUACAGGAGUUACCCGUACCAUGGAUGGCCACAUUGUCGGCUGGACUUCACGCCUAUGAAGUCCCGAUGAAGGCUGUCGACACGCCUGGCAUGUAGAUUCUGCCACGAUGAUACGGCACCACGACUUAGUGAUAGCAUGUAAGAUGAAACUUUUUCGAGCAUGUUCGGCAGUUCUCCACAAUCAGUUAUGUAGCACAGUCCAAAACUGACAAGCAAACAGAGUGACCACGACCAUGAGGGCUAUCAGAUGAUCAAAAUACAAAGGCUGAUGUACGUUUGAGCACACAUAUAUCAGUCAAAGUGGUCAGCCAUCCUCCAAGCGCCGCUUCAUGCGCAGAUAAAUUGCAGGUCCAAAACUGCUGACUACACACCAGAAAAGCAUCUUAGCUGUGUCAUAAUUAAAGGAUAUAUAUUACAUAUAUAUUCCAUGCAACAUCAGUUAUAACUUACAAGUGUUUUUUCACUGAUCCCAUGGGUAGUAAGUAGUAACCAUAUAAUUUGGCAUGCUAACAAGAGGUCACAAAAAAGUUAGCUGUAACGCAUUGUCACAAGAUAUAUGAGAACUUAAAGCCAAAUGUAGUUCAACAAAACAAAUGCAGUGUAUUGUCACAAAAAGUUAGUAUCAUGGCACACUACUAGAACUCGAUCAAGCGCGCUACACUGGCUGCGACAAAGGUCCGGUCAGAUAUCAGGAAAAACAUCUUAACUGCAUCACAGAAGAUGUAUAUUUAUUUUCACCAAGCAUCAGUUAUAAGUCUACUCUUACCCAUCGCAAUUUGGUAUGCCAAUACAAGGUCGAAUAAAAAAAGGUAGUUAACAUAAGUCAUUGGUACGAAAUAAAUCAGAGACAGUGUAGGUGCAACUGUACAGAAGACAUUAAUUCACUUAUUAACAUAGAAUUAGCUACUAAUUUGUACUAUACAGUAUGCUGGCAUCCAGUGAUAUAAAAAUCAAUAUUGGUAAAGAGUCAAUAUUUGAUCUUAUGCUCUAACAUUAUGACAGAUCAGAUGCAGUAUUGUCAUGUAUACUUAUUAUGCUCUGAAUCAUUUUUUUCAUGACAUAAAUGAAUAUUAGCCCCAACAAAAAAUAUUCUUAUCAGUGAUUUGGUUCUGGGGCAAAUGAAAAUCUUUCCACAUUAUAAGGGCAAAAGAAAUUCAAUACAUACUUAAAAUUAUACAAAAGAAAUUCAGCACCUAGUAAAAGGGAUGUUUACUUGUCAUGACUCAUGAGGAUGUGCAGGUGCAUGGCCUCAGAUUCCAAAAAUCACACACAUAAUCAAAAUGCUAAUAUAGCAAGGGAGGACGGUCUUGCAAGACAAACAAGUAGCCUGCGAUAGAAAAUGUAAAUGAUUGUCCACAACUUACUGUUGAUUCCUAAUAGCUCAGCUGCAUGAUUACUUAUUGAAUCAAUGGAACACUACCCAAAGCUCUCAAGCACUAUAGUGGAUCAACCAACAAGGCAACAACCAUAUACAGAGAAGGGAUUUUGCAGAAUUCAAGCAGUAUGAUAUGAUUUUGCUGUCAUCUCAUAAGCAAACAAAUUAUCAUCAGAAAGUGUCGAGUUAAGAAGCACAUUCACGACUAAAUGAGAACAGGAGUUCAGAGGCCAACAACCAUGGAAGAAAAACAAUGUACCGAAAAAUUGUUCAAAAUAUGUUCAGUGAUCAGUUCUCGGGACAGUAAAAUUCUGAAUAACGUCCAGUAUCACAUCUGUUAAUGCCUAGCUCUGGUUUGCAUAAAGCAUUGCCUGUAAGUAAUACUUGAGAUCAAUCUAGGCAGAUUGGAUACUACAGUAAAGAGGUAAAAAUUCUAACCAUUUGCUACAAUUAGAACAAGUAACCAACAAACUGGGCCAAAACUGCCUCCACGGAUUGAUCAACAUACUGUGAUUAUCAGCAAGUCCAAAAUAGUUUCUCACAAAAAAUAUUGUCUAGAAUUGUCAUUCAAAGGAAAUUUUAUGUUGACAUGGACAUAUCAGUACUCAUGAAUCUAAUUACUAGCUUCAUCAAUCGUUAGCAAUGACCAAACUAGCAUGUCACACUCAUACUAUACCAGAGGUCAGCAUCUUGUUAGGCAAGCACACUGAAAUAAAGGUUGCAAACUUACUGCACCAAGCAAAUCAUUGCGUUGCAGUAAGGAUUUUAGAUAUUUAAUUGCCUUAUGACCACCAAGGAUCGCUUCUUGUCAGCUUGCUGCUUCAUGCACUGCCUUGCUCGGUGCAGAUGUUGUUGGAGCAGAUCUUGCACAACGGCGCGUUCAUCCAGCCAGGAGCGAAGGGCCGGAACUGAACAAGCCGUCGCUGUUGUAAUCCCCCAUUGUCGUGGCUCAUGCCCAUACAUUGCACGAAACGGUGACAUCCCAAUGACAGAGUGAUGCGACGAGUUGUACCAGAAUUGUGCAAGUGGAAUCUAAUAGCUCUAUCGACGAGGACACGCUUGCGUGAAGCAUCGGAGGAAAGUUUCGAGGCACUGGUUGACUCUCUCCGUCUGGCCAUCCGUCUGUGGGUGGUUGGCCGAACUCAUUCUGAGACCGGUGCCCGCAUACUUGAAGAGCUCUUGCCAAAAAUGGCUCGUGAACACCGGAUCACGGUCAGACACAAUCGAUCCUGGGAAUCCAUGCAGCCUGUAGACUUGGUUCAUGUAGAGUAGUGCUACCUUGGAGGCUGUAUAGGGGUGUGCCAGGGGGCAGAAAGUGAGAAAAUUUUGUCAGCUUAUCAACGAUCACCAAGAUGCAGUUCGCACCACCAGAAGUUGGAAGCCCAUCAAUGAAAUCCAUUGUGAUCAUCUCCCAAGAUUCCUUGGGCAUGGGUAAAGGUUCAAGCAGCCUCGGGUAAGUAGCUCGAUCCAGCUUGGCUUGCUGGCAAGUAGGGCAGCAACGCACAUAACGUUGAAUUUGUGUUUUCAUUUUGGCCCAAGCGAAGAGACGGCGUACCCGGCGCCAUGUUACUAGGAAGCCGGAGUGUCCUCCGAGAGGUGUAUCAUGAAACGCCUUGAUCCCUUGUUGUUGCAUUGCUGUGCUGCCACCCAACCAAAUGCGUCCUCUGAAGCGUAAGAUGCCUUAUUCCAGGGUGAAACGCUUCUUUGGAUAUGCUCUAGUGGCCAAUUGUUCCAGCAGUUUCUGGGUUUGCGGGUUUGAGUUAUAGCUGGCAAUGAUGUCCUCCAUCCAGCUAGGCUAACAAGAUGAUACCGCUUGUAGUUGCUCCGUGUGGGUGGCACGGCAAAGAGCAUCCGCACCCCCAUUUUCUGUCCCUUUUAUGUACUUGAUAGUGUAGCGAGAUUAGAUUCAACAGAAGUUAGGGCUCUGUCAUGUGCGCCACCGCACGCAAGUCUUCAGUGCAUCGAUCCGAGGACGGAUAGAUUUUUUGCUACGGUCAAACCGACUUGAAUACGAUAAAACUCUUUUUUCUGCUAUACUUGGCGUUUUUAGCUUUGAGAAGAUUGCCACCUGGCCCAAGGCGUCGAUCUGCUAGCCGCAAGUUGCUGAUGCUGUUGCCUGUGCUCGUGGCUGUUGCUAAACUCCCGAUUAAAAAAAAAAGGGAUUUGUGACACCGCCGCGGUCUCUGCUAGCGCUGCAGCUGCGACUACGCCUCGAGCCACCUGGUUCGCCUCCGCCGUCGACUCAUCAGCGCUCGCUUGCUGUUGCACUCCGGAUUACUGCACUUGUUGUGCCUCCAUCACCGCCGGGUCGUGCUUCCAUCGCUGAGAUGCCAUGUUUUCUGCUCAUGUGUUGUGGUACCGCCUGAGCGCUGCGGGCCGUUUAUUGACCCGCCGCUUCUAUCCUGAACUCUUGAUAUGGACCAAGAGUUCAACAUGACAAACUGCAAAAGGAACGACACUAUUUAUUUACCAGUGUUGCCUUCUACGUAUUUUGGAGAAGCAGCAGCACAUUGCAUGGGAUAUUGAAUAGCACUUCUAUCCUGAACAAUGCAAGCUUGAAGGCUUGGUUGACUACCAGCCGUUAAAGGAAUGAAGGAGGAUCAAGUUAUUAGUCCAGCCGCUUACAAACAGCAGACUAAACCGGCAUUGUUUCCGGUUUACUAUGCCUGCCGGUUCAUCUCUAUAGUCGCCUCAUUAUCAUAAUUGGCUUGACAUCCCAGUAUUGAACACCCAAAAGGAAGGGAUUGCUGAUCCUGGGAGUACCAUGUUUACGCUGGAUGGUUACAACAUUACCAGAUUAUCCAAGGACGGUAUAUACGGAUUAUUGGUCAGCCGAACAAAUCAGGUGAUAUCUAUCCAUUUAAGUUCAUUUUAUUAAACAUAUUGUUUACAUCAAAGAACAAUUACACUGGUCUAUGUUAUUUUUUCGCAGGACCAUUAUUUAUUACAAAGGUGUCGCAAAAGAGCGUGCGCCAAUAUGAAUUUUGCGCUAGCGUGUUCGUGCCGUGUUCUGGACGGAUGCGUGAGCAAGUCGCCGCCCUCGCUACAUCAACACACGCAACGGACUCAUCGUCCGCUCCCGUGGCCGACUCACUUGCGUCCUUGCCGUUUCCAACACCGCGGCCGACUCGCCCGCGUCCUUGCCGUUUCCACCGCUGCGGCCGACUCUUUUGUCCGCGCCGGCUUACAACGCCGGUGGCGACCUUCCCCGGACGCACCAGCUAAUAAAAACUGCGGCCGGUUCACCCGUGAGUGAUUUCAGUUUCACCAUAAGAUGUCAUCAACUCCAGCCUAACAUAUCAGGUGAUAUCCAUCUAAGAUUAUUUUAUUAGCGCAUAUUGUUUUUUGUCAAAAAUAAUCACUUUGGUAUGUACACCUUUAUGUGCAGGACAAUGAUUCAUCAUAAAGAUGGUGUAAAGCCAUAUUCAUGGAGUGUGCGGUAGCAUAAUCAUGCAACGGCAUCGGCGACCGCUUACUGUUCAACAGGUGGGUGCAAGUCGCCGCCCCUGUAGCCGAUUCACACGUCUGUGCCGGCUUACAAUGUGACGGGCGACUUACCCGUCCACCCCCGUGGCCGACUCGGCGUCCGAGUGGCUUACUGCUCCUGCAGUUGACUUGCUCGUCCGCACCAGCUUACAACACCGCGGCCGACUCAUCUGUCCGCUUCUGUGGCCGACUCACCCGUCAUUGAUUUCAACCUUACCGCAGUGAUCAUCAACUCCGCGACGGAUUAAUUCCGGUUCAACACAUCAGGUGAAAUCCAUCCAGUAUAUUUUAUAUUAUCUAUUGCUUUCUUUAAAAGAGCAAUUACUCUGGCUUGCAAGUUCUCCAGUGCAGGACAAAUUAUGUCACUGAGAUGUUGAAUGACUCGUACCGGUUUAUAUUACGGUCAAAUAUGGAGAGUCUCAAGCCAACUCCUCGAGUAGUCUUAAAACUCGGGGGCUACAGUGACAUGACUCGGGACUCCGGGUCAUGGGAGGGGAUGAUAACCCGGUUUCAGAGGACACUACCAUACUGGUGAAAAUUCCAGUUUAAAAUCCGGUUCAAGAGACAUCUUUCUCCCGCAAAGCUUUGAAGCUCUCAAAACCGGUUCAACAUCCGGAUCAAGGUAAAAUUGUCCCUUACAAAGCUUUGAGGAUCUCAAUAUCCGGUUUAGGAAAUUCCGGUUCAAAACAUGGGUAUCCUGCUUUACGGCUUAUCUUAUUAUGGUCACUUGGGGGCUUCCUGCUCAUCGGGCAUAGCCAUCAGUACCCUCUUGAUCGGCGCAAUGCCAAAAUUUAUACGGUCACUUGGGGGCUUCCUGUUCAAACAUAGGUCGUAUUCGAACCAAAAAGAACAUAGCUGUCGAUACCCUUUUGAUUAGCAAACUGCUGAACCUACUUGGGGGCUUCUUGAUCGUAUCCGAAUCAUAGCUCAACCCCUUUGGGAAUUGACGUGGAUCAUAUUCGAAUCAGCAUCGUUAAACAACUCUUAUGGUCACUUGGGGGCUUCCUGUUCAAACAUAAGUCGUAUUCGAACCAAAGAGAACAUAGUUGUCGAUACCCACUUGAUCGGCAUCGCCAAGCCACUGGGGGCUAUAUGAUCGUAUUCGAAUCUUAGCUUAACCCCUUGGGAACGGUUUACUGAUUGUAUCCGAAUCAGAAGCCUCAAAAAUUUUUAUUCUAUCUCUGGUAAAGUUUAUUGUAGCCACAAUUACUUAACUUGAGACCUUUUGGGGAUUAUAUCUCAAAUGUAUAUAAGUGUUUUAUGAUUAACCCGGCUUGACUUUUGACUAUAAGUCGCCAGCUUAUGACAACCAUCAUUGAUAUGGAAGCAUUGGCUUCUAAGGAUUGGGUUAUCACCCUUAUUACACAGGUCAUGUAAACCGGCAGUACAAAUUCAAUAUCACAAUGAUCAUUUGGGGGUUUUCCUGUUCAAACAUAGGUCGUAUUCGAACCAAAGAGAACAUAACUGUUGAUACCCACUUUGAUCGGCAUAACCAACGCCACUGGGGGCUAUAUAAUCGUAUUCGAAUCUUAGCUUAACCCCUUUGGAACAGUUUACUGAUCGUAUUCGAAUCAGAAGCCUCAAAAUUUUAUCUGUUUUUAUACAAUCACAAGUAUUUGGGUUGUCACAAAUAUCAUAUGUGCCGUCUCUUACAGACUUGACUUCACUGUCCGGGUCACAUAAGCCGGCAGUAUCAUUCAAAGGAUCAUAGGGAUCUUGUGAUCUACUUGUGUGCAGGAUAAGACUACAUUUGGGUGGUUACCCGUCCUAGCUUUUUGACAUUAAGUCACCAGGGCAUACUCUUUGCAGGAUUUGUAGGAAUAUGACAUGUAAAUGAUUAAGUUCAAGCUCAUUACCAAACUUGAUGCUUCAAAAUAAUUAUCCGUUCUGGAUUUUUCUCAAAGGCUAUAAGCCACCGGGUUACAAAAAUUCUGGCUUACAAUGAAUGUGCAUUAAAGUCGUCAUCGGCCAAGAGCCGCCAGGUAUUUAGACUCCGGAUUUACUUGUCGACCGAUGAGGUAUUCAAAUCUUUAAUAGCCAAAACUGGCUGAAUUUUCAUGAUGAUAUUGAAUGAUUGAGGUUUUCAUACCGGAUUAUAUUAUUCAAAUCUCGAAUAGCCAACAUGGCUGGAUUUCUAUUGUGAUUAUCAAUAACCAGUGUUAUGAUUGAGGUUUUCAAAGUCGCUUUAGCGCAACGGCUAUCAUUUUUAUCAAUGGAUAUGAUAUAUUCUACAAUGGAAAGAAUAGUCCCGAGUCGCUUCAGGCUUACGACCCGGCACUUGGGGGCUAUAUUAUUCAGAUUGGGAUUAUAUGAAAUUUCAAGUCCCAUGUCACUGCCAGCAUGCACCAUGGCACUUGGGGGCUAAUGCAAAGUCACUUUUUGCUCAACUUAUUGAAGACCCGACUCAUCAUAUUCUAAAUGAGCCGGCCCUUGGGGGCUACCAAUUGCUCCUCUCAAAAAUUCAAGGUACACAAGCAUUAAUCCAUUAUAUUGAACGGUUCACUAUUCAGUUGGUGGAGUAUAAAGCUCUUAACCUUGUGGACGUGGGUUCAAACCCCAUGGUGGAGAUUACAUCAUAUGAUGUUAUUAUCAAUUAUAUGCAAAGUCCCAGCUCAGUAUUAUCUUACUAAGCCGGCCCUUGGGGGCUACACGUUGCUGUUCAAUUAUACAUGAUCAUAUCUACAAAGUCCCUGCUCAUUAUUGCAUAACGACCCGACACUUGGGGGCUACAAGUAAUAUGGAUAUAAGGGAGAAAUAUCUUCCAAUCUUCACUUUUUUAGUUUUGAGCAAACCAGAUUGACCCGGCAUCACCAAUCAUUAUGACCCGGUGUCUGCAACAAUCAUAACCUGGCAUCAUCAAUAAUCAUGAACCGUCAUUGGUAACAAUCAUGAACCAGCGUUGGAAACAAUCAUGACCAGGAAUUAUCAGUUUUUAUAGCCCGGUGAUUUUGGAAAUUAUAGAUCGGCAAGUUCUAUAUUUUCAAACCGGCUGAAUAUCAGAUGAGUAUUUCAAGACCAAUAUUUUUUAAGCCGACACUUUGGAAGCCGACUCAAAUGGAUUAUUUGUUUACAAUAUUUCUUCUACAAGCAAAUUGAUUGUGAAGCUGGUCUAUUGACCCAGAUUUUCUAGAAGAAGGAAAUGACAAGGACUUAAGGAUGUUCAGGUGCCGGUUUACAAGAAUUAUUAACCCGGAGCACAACCUGUCAAAUUUUUUCUUGUGUUUAUUUUGCAGCAUAAGUUUACCAUGGAUAAAUCCAAGCUAAACUUGGGGGCUAAUGUCGGGGAUAUACCCCGCGGUGUAACCCGGCCAGAAGUAUAACCCGGCCGGACUUGGCGACUCACUAAUGACCCGCCCUGACUGGACAGCACACUAAGUGACCCGCCCGAUCCUGGCGGCUUAUGGGUGACCUGGCAAGCGGAUCAGAGAAGCGACAAGACCUGGGGCCCCAGGAGGCUCAAGGCCCAGAAUGCCGGCUUACGUUAUGAUAGGCCGCCUUAAGAGGAAAGGCGUGAGGAGUAUCUCCCUUACAAGGAAUCAAGACCCGGACUUGUAUCCGGCUUGUAGUACAAGAUAGGCUAGUCCUACUAGGACUCCACAUGUAACCCGCCCCUCUAAACUUAUAUAAGGAGGGGCAGGGCUUCCCAAAGAGGGGGGGAAAAGAAGAACAAUAAUCUCUAGGGCUAGACACCACUAAACGGGGGAGCCGGCUUAUGCGGCGACUCUCUCGAUGAGCAUAAUGAGACCUAGCCUCAAACAACAUGUAGGGCUAUUCCAGAUGAUGUUUCCCGGGGUCCGAAGCUGUCUAAAUCCUUGUCUUGCGUGUUGCGUCUCUCAUCCCGAUCAACCCCUCUCAAGCUACCACAUAGAUGUGUUGGCCUCGCGACUAAGUCUUUGAGAAAUCCGGCAAGGCAAGGACAGGAGCAGUAACAAGGCCUUGUUUCAGCAGUUGAAAUGAUUCCUUGGUCGCGUGCGUCCAGACAGACGGGGUCCCUUUCUUGAGUAGGUUGAACAUUGGCCACGCCACAAUACCAAAGUGUCGUACAAACCGGCGGUAGUAUCCUGCCAGGCCCAGGAAACGCCUGACCUCCUUGACAUCCACUGGAGCAGGCCACUGAGCUACCGCCUGCACCUUGCUUGGUUCCGUGGCCACGCCUUUUCGCUGAUCACGUGGCCCAGAUAAGAUAACUGGCGUUGGCCAAAACAACAUUUCGAAGCACUGACCUUCCAUUGGUCGCGGCGCAGCAGCUGCAAAACUUGCUCGAGAUGGACAGCAUGGUCUUCCAGAGUAUGACUGAAGACGAGUAUGUCGUCAAAGAACAGCAGUACACACUUGCGUACGAGAGGGUGCAAGGUGUCAGUAACAGCCCCGAUGAACAUCGCCGGUCCUCCUGCCAAUCCAAAUGAGAGCACCAAGAACUCAAAGUGUCUGGAGUGAGUGGAGAAGGCUAUUUUGUAUUCUUCUGAAAGUGCGUUAUAUCGACUAGAUGGGGGGUGAAUAGGCGAUUUUUAUGAAUUCUUCACUGAGGAAUUUGCCGGUGAGGAAAUUUCUUAGCGAAGAACUACUAGCAGCGGAAUAAGUACUAGAAGUAAGCAUAACAGGAUACAAACAUAGUCAUCAUGAUGAAAUGAAGACAAGCACAGAGUACAUGAAACGUAAACACAUGAUAACACAAGAUGAAGACAAUCAGACUGAAGAAAUUGAACAGAGGAAAUUGAGAAAGUCUUCAGUCAAAGUCUUCAAACACAGAUAUGAACAAUAACUCAACACAGUAAUGAGGAAAUGAAAGAGUUGAGGAAAUAGAACCAGUAAGGUUGGUGAAGACAAUGAUUUGGUAGACCAGUUCCAACUGCUGCCUUAGUUGUACGUCUGGUUGGAGCGGCUGAGUAUUUAAACUCGAGGACACACAGUCCCGGACACCCAGUCGUUGAGCACGCAGCUCAGGACACCAAGUCCUCACCGUAUUCUCCUUGAACUAAGGUCACACAGACCUCGUCCAAUCACUUGUGGUAAGUCUUUAGGCGACUUCCAAACUUUCACAGACUCGGUCACUCGGUGAUCCACAAUUCCUCUUGGAUGCUCUAGACCAUGACGCCUAACCGUCUGGAAGAAGCACAGUCUUCAAAGGUAACAAGCAUCAGAUCCACGCAGGAUCAAUCUCUUCAGUGAUGCUCAAUCACUUUGGGGUUUGUAGGUGUUUGGGUUUGGUUUUUUCCUCACUCGAUGAUUGUCGCUCAAAGUCCUCGGAGGAUGGGUUGCCCUCAAAUGACAAGUUUCAGUUUCUCUCAGAGCAGCCAACCAGCUAGUGGUUGUAGGGGGCGGCUAUUUAUAGCCUAGGGAGCAGCCCGACAUGAUAAUACAUAAAUGCCCUUGUCUGAUAUGACCGUUAGGUGGAUAAGAUAUUUUGGGACAGCUGGCACGUAGCACAGCAAUGGUAGGAAAUUUGACUAUCAAAUUCAUCAGGGCUAUCAUGUUCCUCACUGUGUAGGCAAUCCGCACUGGCGAAUUCCUAACUCCUCAGUCAGAACAAAUUCCUCAGCGACUAGAAGAACUUCGUCUCUGUCACUGAAGAAAUUGACUGAACUGUAUGAGAUUUCCAAAGGCUUCACUCGAAGGGUUUGGUAGGUGUAGGAUUUUGAGUUGAGCAUCACAUGGAAAAUUUUCCUUAGUAUUUCCUCGACCCCCUUUAACAGUACGGUGUUUCCUAUGACUCAAGAAAGAGAAAAACAAAACUAUGAAAACGAAAGUCUUCAAGCUUCAUAUUCCUCGCAUGAAUAUCAAGUCUUCACGGAUACACCAAUUUCUUCACUUUCAAAGUCUUCAUGAAAGUCUUCAGGAAUACCAAAAUCUUCAGUCAAAAAUAUUCAUUUUUAGGGGUCGACUUUCCCUGUAAAUAUCAAACUCCUCAUAAACUUAUAGACCUGUGUACACUCAGAAACACAUUAGUCCCUUAACCUAUAAGUCUUCAAUACACCAAAAUCACUAAGGGGCACUAGAUGCACUUACAAUCUCCCCCUUUUUGGUGAUUGAUGACAAUAUAGGUUAAGUUUUCAACGGAGAUAAACAUAUGAAGUGUAAGUACUGAUAUUGAGGAAUUUGAUUGCAAGAUAUAGAAGAACUCCUCCUGAAGAUGUGCAUAGUGAGGAAUUUGCUUUUGAAGCAAUGCACACUUGAAGAGUUGAAUCAUGGAGAUCUCCCCCUAUAUCUUGUAAUUCAUGCACGCAUUUGACAUAUAAUAUGAAGAAUCUGAAAUGCAUGAUGAAAUAUGGUGCCUGAUGAAAUUCAGCAUGCGUGCAAUAAUAUUAAUGAGGAACAAGCAUGCAGAAUAACGCAUCAAGAGUAUCAGAUCACAGUGCAUCAAAAGUAUCAGAGCACCAUCGGGUUUAAGAUUACAACUCGAUCCAAUAAAGUUUCAGAAGAACGAGAGUUGUAACUUAGCAAAAAACAACGCCCAUAUAAUAGACCCGCUUGAAGACUAACUCAAAUUUCUCCCCCUUUGUCAUCGAAUGACCAAAAGGUUCAAAACUGAGGACUAACGCCCCUGAAGAAUAUCAAGUUGAUGGAGGAGCGCCAGCGUUGGGGUCGAUAGUCGUAGUAGGGCCUGCUGUAGUGUCGUCUAAGUCUUCAUUUUCAUCAGUCUCGCGUGAUGAAGAAUAGGAGCUGGCCACCAAGGAAGGAACCUUGAACUUCUUGAAUUUCUUCGGUGGAGGUGCAGACCAGUCAAAUUCUUCCUUGAGACCCAUAUUCUUCAGAUCUGCAGCGCUGUAGACAUGCGAUAGAACAACCCAGGUAUGGUUGAAGGUUUCAUGGAGGUAGUAUUGGUUUUUCUUCACUGCAUUGUGUGUUGAUGUCAUGUUGUGAAGAAUUGAACCAAACUGAUGCUUGACCCAUUUGUGAUUGCGAUCAACCUUCUGAUGAAGACUGAGGAGUAACUCACAAUCAGUCAUCACCCUGGGUGCUGUGGCUUGAGGAUUUUUCUUGGCGGCAGAGUCAUGUGUGGCAGAGUCGUCAUUGGUGGAGUAUGAUGCAGCCUUGCGAAAUUGACCAUCCAAUGGACGAAUGCCUUCAUCUAUCACAGCAGUUGCCUUGCCUUUGUCAUCAGCCAAGGAAUAUGUCCGUUUGAGGACUUCAAUCGGAGGCAAGUAGCUGCCAUGGUUCAAAGUGUCAGCUUUGUAAUUUAGUGAAGCCCUUGUCCUGAUGAAUCUCAUAAUCCAUGGUGCAUAAGGCUUCAGUUCAAAUGGUGACAUAGCAAUAUUCGUCAGAGUCCUCAUGAAGAAAUCAUGGAAGUUGACGGGAACGCCAUGAAUGAUAUUGAAAAGCAUGUUCUUUAUGAUGCCAACGACCUCUUCAUCAUUUGAGUCAUGGCCUUUGAUAGGACUCAUUGUCUUCGUCAGAAUGCAAUAGACAGUCUGGGGCACAUAUAAUAAUUCCUUGAUGAGGAAUUUGGUUUGAGGAGCCUGCCCUGGCUUCAAAGGCUUCAUCAGCACUUGUAUGAAAUGAUUGGAAAGCUAAGGUUCACUAUAGACGCAACGAGCACUGUCAAGGGGAGGACUGAGUGGUAGGGCAUGAAGCAAUUCAGUUGCUGGUGCCUUGUAGUGAGUAUUUUCAGGCAUCCAGUCCAGCACCCAUGAAUUUACAUCUUCAGAGUUUCCUAUGAUGUGCAGCAUGGCAUAGAAUUGAAGAAUGAGUUCUUCAUUCCAGUCACAGAUGUCAGUGCAGAAGUUCAGUAAUCCAGCAUCGUGAAGAACACUGAGGACUGGCUCGAAGCACGGCAGAGACUCCAUGUCCACAUGAGGAAUAUGUUCAUGAUCGAAGACUUUGUCUUUGUUGAACAGUACUGAGGAAUAGAAAUUUGCUUGACUAGCAUUCCAGAAGCGCCUCUUCCUUAUGUGAGCAGAGUCAUAGGGGUUAUAGUCAGUGAAGAACACAUGCUCGCUGAAGAAAUCUUCAGCCUUGAACUUUUGCUUCUUUGAGAAUGGAUCCCUAGGCUUGGGCACUGGAGUGUCAGUGAGUUGCAUCACAACCUCAGGAAUCGCAAUAUCAGGUUCUUCAGGCUGAGGAAUUUCUGGUUCCUCUUCAGUAGCAGUCUGUGUGUUCAAAGGUUCAACAACAACAGCUUCUUCAGCACUAGUGGCUGGAAUUUCUUCAUGCACAGACGAGGUGGGAUGAGUUUCUUCAGAGCUCAUUUGAACUGUUGGUGCAGGGGACUGAGGUAUUUGUUGUAGUGGCGUGAAGAGUGAAGUAUUGGGGUGCUGACUUUCCCAAAAGUCAUCAUUCAUCACGGGCGUUGUGCAGCCAAUGCCCACGUCUUCAUCUUCAAUUUCUUCAACGCCAACCUCUUUAGCUGUGAACUGAGGCAUUGGCGAGGAAGCAACAGGCGUUGAAGGGAUCGUAUCCACUUCAAUUUCUUCAUCAACCUACUCUGACGAAGCAGCAGAUUGAGGUUCUUCAUUAGAUCCGCUAGGGAUCACAUAUUCCUCAUCAAAAGGAACAAGGUCCUUUGAUGGCAUGGUGGAAAUCGGAACAACGACAUCAAUUGGAUUUUCAAUAGAGCUUGUCAGAGGCUUCAUCUUCUUUGGAGCUGAAGAUUAUGAAGCACUGGAUGCUUUCCUUUUCUUCAUUGCAGCUCGCUCUGCAGCCUUGGUCUUCUUCACAUCGAAUGCACAUGGAAGAAUUGGAGUUGGGGUAGGCGCAGAUGGAACUAAGGAAUCUGGUUGAAUUUCCUCAGGCGCAACUGAUGCAGUUGCCCUGACUUCUUCAGUUUCUUUAGGCGCACAACUAGUGGAUGCCCUGACAAUUUCUUCAGCGGCUGGAAUGGAGUUAUCAGCCCUAGAACUAGCAUUUUCUUCAGCAGCCUGAAUGUCAUCAGCGGUGCUGGCAUGUUCUUCAGUUGGCUGAGCAGAUGCUUCAGCAUGAGGAAUUUCUUGUUGCGAUGGGGCUGCAACAUUUGUGAAUUUCUCAGUCAGUUUCACAAACCUGACUUUGGCUCCUUGCCAAUCAGCAUAGUAAGCAUUGAAAUCAUCGCUGAGGGCUUUGAUUUCAGCUUGGAUCUUGAGGAGUUCAUCAGUUGUCAUAUUGACAACGUUAUUCUUCAGGAACUUCUUCUUUCUGAACUGAGUCUUCUUGAUCUGCCUGGCCUUCUCAAAUUUUCAUUUCUCUUCAGUGAUGAAAUGGGUCAGCAUGUGACUUUGACCAGGAGUCAAAUUGAAAUCAGGCAUAGGAGUAUUUGGAUCCUUGUGCCAGAGAUCAAUGUAAUCAAGGAUCGCCCUUGGAUCCAAAAGCAGUGGCACAUUUGUGCCUUUGGCUCUAGCGGCCCUUUCUUGUCGGUCUCUGAUGAUUUCUGCAAGUUCAUCAUCAUCAGCUUCAUCGUCAGAUGGCACUUGGAAGGCAACCUGUUUCUUCUUCGGACUUAGCCGAGGACCUCGACCAGCCGUUGCCUUAGUCUUCAGCAGAGUGGGGCCUGAUGAAGAUUUUGGUGUAGCUAAGGAACUUGCUGAGGCACCAGAGGCAAUAGAGAUGCAUGUUGUCCUUUGGCACGUGGCCAGAUGUACAGGUGUUGAGGACUUUGCCGGAGCAGCUGAGGACUUUGGAGGAGGAGCAGUAAUUGGAACUGGCCGUGAGGGCUUUGAAGAAUCUGGCCGUGAGGGCAUAGUUGGUGAAGCACUUGGCUUGUGAGCGGGCUUCUUUGUCAUUGAUUUUCUUGGCUUGAUAGAGGCCUCAGUGGCAGUAGCAGCAACAGAGUCUUCAUUGAAUUUCCUCACUGCUUCUUUGGCUUGUCUUGCCAACUUAGCUUGGCGCUUGGCCCAUUCUUCAGGAAAAUCCUCACCACGCUUGAUGCUGGUGGGGUCAGCUUCUUGGCCAGGUGCCAAUGGAGCUCUUGGGCAUGGAGGAUUAAGUGCAAAUUUCUUCAUAUACUUUGGAGUCACAUAUCUGUACUCCCUCCAUUCUCUUGCCCAUCUCCGUUCAAUCUUUUGUAUGCGCACCUUGCGCUGAUUUUUAGUUUCUUUUCCGUACUUAGCCUCAUCAGGUGUGCAAUAAUCAGCAUAGAUGGCCUCAAGUAUUUCAAAAGCAGUCAUGACCUCAGGUUUCUUUCCUCCUUUCUGCGGCUUCUUACCAUCAGCCAUAUUCUUCAGAUGAGGAAUUUGAACAAUCAAAUUUUCUGAAGAAGUGUGCAACUUUUCUUCGAGGAACGCUGCAAAUGAGUUAAGUUGAUGAGAACCUAGUGAUUCAGCAGCGGACAUGAGUACCUGUGAACAGAGUAUAGCUGAAAGGAAUUUGGAGAGGUCAUAUGCAUUCUCAGAAGGUUUUUCAAAAAGAACAAGUUUGAGGAAUUUGACCAGAUGAGCCUUGAAGAAUUUCACUAAGCGUUCUUUGUCUUAGGUUCCAGAGUUGUAUAGAUCGAAGAUCCACACAAUUGAGGAAUCUUGAAGAAAAAUGAUGCUUAGAGAAAUGAAUGAAGAACAGAUGACUAGUGAGGUGUUUUGUGAGUGUGGAUUUGAAGAAAUAAACACUUUUGAAGAUUUUUAUUGUGAAAUUUCAAAUCAAAAGGGGUAGUAAAAGUAACUUUUAAUUACCCUUGAUGAAGAACACGACGAACUGUGAAGAAGAACAGUGAAGUUCGUCGGUGUAGAUCUUCCACGCCCUAACUUGGCGGAGGAAGACAGCUACGGCGGCGGCGGAGUGAAGAUUUCCGCGGUCGGCGCGAGUACGACGGCGACGAGGUCGAGGCAGUGAAGCUCUUCCUCACCGGCGACGAUGGAGUAGAGGUGGCGCUAGGGUUUGAGGAGCUCGAGCGAGAGAGAGAGCGGUCGAGCGGAGUAAAGGAAGUGAGGAAGGGGAGAGGGGGUAUUUAUAGUCCCAGUGAAAAACUAUUCGCCCGAAGAUUUAGGACGAACAUGCCCCUGACCCUUCUCCUUCGCUUGACAUGUGUCACCCACGUACUGAGAAGUGGAGAUCGUGUUAGAUCGUGGGUGAAUAGAUAAGUCUAUCGUGGGAUCCAGAACGGAUUGAGCGGUAAAACCGAAAAUCUGGAUAAGAUUAAUUUUAAAGUUCCGUUCACAAAUUCUUCAGCUGUCAAGGACACAGUGAAGAUUUUGAACGAGUUUCAAAUAGAACGCACAUGAAGAAUUUGUGAAUAUAUUGGGUUGAGUAUAGCAUAGAGGGGAAAGGGUCCGAUCACAUUCACUUAGCAGAAAAUGCAACUUGAAGAAAUAGCCAUAAGUGAAUGCUGUAGAGGACAUAAACUCACAUAUAUAUAUAUAUAUAUAUAUAUAUAUAUAUAUAUAUAUAUUGCCAAUGAAGAAAAACAUCGGAACCAGUGAAGAUUUUGCAAAGUUGAAGAAUUUGAAAAACUGAAGAAUGUCAAACACUGAGGAAUUUCAAAAAUGAAAAUUUUCAACUUUGGUGGUGGCAUGACCCACCAUAUAAGAAUGAUGAUUUCAGACACCGCGUACCAUUGUCGUAGGGUUCUGAGAAUCAAAUUCUUCAUUAAUUUCUUCACACUUAGAGUGUUAUUCUUCAUUGAUUGAAGAAAAACGUUUCUUCAUGUGUUGCACAUCUAAGUCAUCAAUUUUGCAUAAGUGUUAGGAUGUGUGUCCUUUUCAAAGAACAUUCAAAGAUUUUAAGAUAUUUAGCUCACACCGCAACUUGCUAAAUCUCUUCUCAUCCAAGGGCUUUGUGAAGAUAUCAGCUAGCUGUUCUUCAGUCUUCAUGUGCUCGAUGGAGAUCUCGCCCUUCAACACAUGAUCACGAAGAAAAUGAUGACGAAUCUGAAUGUGCUUUGUCUUCGAGUGCUGAACUGGGUUGUGAGCAAUCUUGAUGGCACUCUCAUUAUCACAGAGGAGAGGCACAUUCUUCACGUUGAUGCCGUAGUACUUGAGGGUUUGCUUCAUCCAUAGCAGUUGAGCACAACAAGAACCAGCAGCAAUGUAUUCAGCUUUAGCAGUAGACAGUGAUACGCAGUUCUGUUUCUUCGAGGACCAACAGACCAAAGAACGUCCGAGGAAAUGACAAGUACCAGAUGUUGACUUGCGGUCCACACGAUCACCAGCAUAGUCAGAGUCAGAAUAUCCAAUGAGAUCAAAAGUAGAGCCCUUGGGGUACCAUAAUCCUAGUGUUGGUGUGUGAGCUAGAUAUCGAAGAAUAUGCUUCAUAGCCUUAUGGUGUGAUUCCUUCGGUGCAGCUUGAAAUCGGGCACACAUGCAAACACUAAGCAUUAUAUCUGGCCUAGAUUCACAUAAGUACAAUAAUGAACCAAUCAUGGAGCGGUAUACCUUGUGAUCGAAGUCAAUACCAUUUUCAUCAGUGCAUAGAUGGCCAUUUGUGGGCAUAGGAAUUUUGACGCAUUUGCAAUCUUGCAUGCCGAAUUUCCUCAGAACGUCCUUGAGGUAUUUCUCCUGAGAUAUGAAUAUGCCAUUGUGCUGUUGACGAAUUUGAAGACCUAAAAAGAAUUUCAACUCUCCCAUCAUAGACAUUUGAUACUCUUCACUCAUCAUAUAGGCAUCACUAUAACGUUGGUCAGUACAGCCAAAGAUAAUAUCAUCAGCAUAUAUUUGGCACACAAACAGUUCACCAUCAUAAGAUUUAGUAAAGAGAGUAGGAUCGAGUGAACCGGGUGUGAAGCCAUUCUUCACGAAGAAUUCCUUCAAAGUAUCAUACCACGCCCGAGGGGCCUGCUUGAGGCAAUAUAGGGCCUUGUUGAGUCUGAAGACUUUGUUAGGAUUCUUUGGAUCUUCAAAACCUGGGGGUUGAGCAACAUAUACUUCUUCCUCAAGCUUACCAUUGAGGAAUGCACUUUUCACAUCCAUUUUUUGUAAGAUAAUAUUAUGAUGGUUAGCAUAAGCAAGCAAUAUGCGAAUCGCCUCAAGUCUAGCAACAGGUGCAAAAGUUUCAUCGAAAUCAAUUCCUUCAACCUGUGUGUAGCCUUGAGCUACAAGUCGUGCCUUAUUCCUCACCACAAGGCCAUUUUCAUCUUGCUUGUUGCGGUAGAUCCACUUUGUGCCAAUGAUAUUAUGCUUGCGAGGGUUUGGACGUUUGACCAGUUCCCAGACAUUGUUGAGCUCGAACUGAUGUAAUUCUUCUUGCAUGGCCUGAAUCCACUCAGGCUCCAGAAAUGCUUCAUCUACCUUAGUGGGCUCUGUAAUAGAGACAAAAGCAUAGUGCCCACAAAAGUUAGAUAAAUGUGAAGCUUUUGAGCGUGUGAGAGGACCUGGCGCUCGAAUGUCAUCGAUGAUCCUUUCCACUUGCACUUCUUUUGCAAUGCGAGGAUGAGCUGGUUGUCGUUGAGGAAUUUGAUCAGCAUUAUCUUCAACACCAUUUUCUUCAGCAUUUUCAUCAGGUGCACCAGCUCGAUUUUCUUCACGUUCUGGAAUGAAUUCUUCAACAGAUUCUUCGGUAGGAAUAACAUCCUCAGUAGCCUUGAACUUGAUAGAAUCCUCAGGUGCUAGUUCAUCUAUCACAGAAGGUAGGUGUUCUCUUUGCGAGCCAUUAGUUUCGUCGAACCGCACAUCUACAGUUUCAACAACCUUGUGAAGAACGUUGUUGAAGACUCUGUAGGUGUGUGAGUCCUUUCCGUAACCAAGCAUAAAACCUUCAUGUGCUUUCGGUGCAAAUUUAGCAUUGUGAUGAGGAUCUCUAAACCAACAUUUAGCACCGAAGACUUUGAAAUAACUCACAUUGGGUUUCUUUUCACUGAGGAGUUCAUAGGCAGUCUUCUUGAAGAAUUUGUGAAGAUAUACCCGAUUGAUGAUGUCGCACGCAGUAUCAAUUCCAUCAAUCCAAAAUCGACGAGGUGUUUUGUAUUCAUCAAGCAUAGUGCGAGCCAUUUCAGCGAGGGUUCUGUUCUUGCGCUCCACGAUGCCAUUCUGCUGAGGAGUAUAAGGAGCAGAUAACUCAUGAGUAAUACCAAGUUCAUCAAGAUAGCCAUCAAGACCGGAAUUCUUGAACUCGGUCCCAUUGUCAGUUCUGAUGUGCUUGAUCUUCACACCAAAGUUGGUUGAAGUCCUAGAGGAAAAUCGUUUGAAGAUUUCCUGCACUUCAUGUUUGUAAGUGACAAUGUGUACCCAUGUGUAACGAGAAUAGUCAUCAACAAUAACAAAGCCAUAUAGAGAUGCAUCAUUUGAAACAGCAGAAUAAUGAUUAGGACCAAAGAGAUCCAUGUGAAGCAAUUCAAAUGGACGAGUAGUGGUCAUGAUAGUCUUUGCUGGAUGCUUGGCCUUUGUCAUCUUUCCAGCUUCACAAGCUCCGCAUAAGUGAUCCUUGAGGAAUUUGACAUUCUCAAUGCCAAUGACAUGCUUCUUCUUUGCAAGCGUGUUCAGAUUCCUCAUGCCAGCAUGACCAAGUUGUCGAUGCCAUAGCCAGCCUUUUGAAGCUUUUGCAAGUAAGCACACGGCUGGUUGUGGUCCUGUAGAGAAAUCAACAAUAUACAGCUCUCCUCUCCUAAAGCCUUCGAAGACUUUGGAAUGGUCAGCUUCCAUGAUCACAACACAUCGAUAUCUUCCAAAGACAACAACCAUAUCGAGAUCACAAAGCAUUGAGACAGACAUGAGGUUGUAUCCUAAGGACUCGACAAGCAUGACUUUGUCCAUGUGUCAAUCCUUUGAGAUCGCAACCUUACCUAGACCCAAUACCUGACUUUUGCCUUUGUCAGCGAAGAUGAUGUGCUUCAGAUGUGACAGUGUUAAGGGAGCAUCCAUCAAUAGGUUCUUGUCACCAGUGAUGUGAUUUGUACAUCCACUAUCGAGAACCCAUUCGUUGACUUUGGGCUGAUCAUCCUGCAGAUGAAUUAGCACACUUAUGAUCUCAUAUACUUCAUCAGUGAAGAAUAUGAUAUCAAGUUCAUCAGAUGAAUUUCAUCAAGCAGUAAAACAGAUAUUUCAGUAUGAGGAUGUGUGAAAUGAAAGUUCAUUUCAUCAUGAUUCGCCUGCGUUCUUUCAGGCAUUUUUGUCAGGCCCCCAGCAAAUUCUUCAGACGUUUAAAGCAUGUCUGGAGACCUGACCCUGCAUAAGAGAUUAGUUCUUUUUCUUCACCACCCACAUCUGAAGGGGUGGCAAAGAGUUCAUCACUCUGCGAGCACCAUAUGAGAAAGGUGGCAUAGAGGCCAAUCCAUUUCGUAUCACAUAAGAGGGGUUAGGGUAAGCAUAUGAAUAAGCAGAGAAGUUCUUCGAGGACUUAUGAACAUAAUGAUUUGAAGUAUAAUGUGCAUAUUCAUAGCCCUUAGCUCUACCCUGCGAAACAGAAUUGUUAGCACGAUGAUAGUCAUAUGAGGACUUUGAUCCAUUUGACGAAUUUGAUCCACGUGAGGAAUUUGGUCCGUAUGAGGACUUGGAUCCAUAUGAAGAAUUAGGUCCAUAUGAAGAGUUUGAUCUGGGGUUCCUAUUCUUCACAGGUGGUGUCAUGAGGACAUUCACCUGAAGACUUUCAACAUAACUUUUGGGAACCCAGAUUUUCUUCAUAGGGGAACCGUUCCUGCAGUUAGUCCCAACAUAUCUAGCAAAUACUUCACCAUUCUGAUUUUUGAACAGUUUAUAGUUGGAGUCAAAUGACUCAUCAGAAGAAUGAGGAGAUUCACAUGUAAAGCUAGAUAAGUUGGAUGGAUCAACUGGAGGUCCCUUUGCAGCAACCCAUGAGGUUUUGGGGUACUGCUCAGGCUUCCAAUAUGUUCCAUCAGCAUUGAGUUUCCUCUCAAAGGCAAUACCCUCUUUCCUAGGGUUUCUGUUAAGUAUCUGCUUUUUGAGCACAUCACAAAGAAUCUGAUGCCCUUUGAGGCUUUUGUACAUGCCUGUCAUGUACAAUUCCUUCAGCCCUGCAUCAUUAGUAGUACUAGCAAUGUCCUUAGAUGAGGAAUUAGUGAUAGCAGAGGCAGGUGAAGAAUUUGUAACAGUUGAAGCAUUUAAACAUUCAGGUGAUGAAUUAGCAGAUUCACGUUCAAUGCACUUUAAGCAUGGUGGAACAAAUUCUUCUUGAGUAGCGCUGAUUUGUUGAGCAAGUAAUGAAUCACGAUCCUUCUGAAGAUCUUCAUAACUCACUCUUAGCUUCUCAAGAUCUUGCUUUCUUUGAAGAAAUUCAUAAGAAAGCUUCCCGUGAUCAGAUAAGAGAGUGUUAUGAUGACUUUGAAGAUUGUCAAACUUAGACUGAAGUCUCUGAAGAUUUUCAGUUAAGUCUUUAGUGCGGUCCAUUUCAUCACCCAGCAUAUCAUCACUUUUGUCUAGCAUGUUUUGAAGUUUUUCAAUAGCCUUUUGUUGUUUCACAGCAAUCUUAGCAAGUUUAGAGUAACUAGGCUUAAGAUUUUCAUCAGAUUCAUCCUCACUAGAUUCAGAGGAGGGGUAUUUUGUUACCUUGGCACCCUUUGCCAUGAAGCAAUAGGUGGGAGCGUAGUCAUCAUUGUCUUCAUCAGCCUUGUUGGUGCGGUCAAUUUCUUCAGAGUUGAAGAUAGACUUGCUGACGAAAGCAGUAGCGAGAGCCAGACUCCCCACACCAGACUCUGACUCCUCAGAUGCCUCCUCUUCCUCAUGUUCCUCAGAUUCAGCUUCAGAGUCCAUUUCCUUGCCAAUGAAUGCCUGAGCCUUCUUGGAGCUGCUCUUCUUGUGAGAUGAAGUGUCGGAGUAAUUGGCGAUGGGUACCCCGAAGACGGCAAGGCGAUAUUUCAAGACAUCAGGGCUAGCAAAGCCCCUCAGUCCGACUGCCCGGCCGCUCUAGCCGGCUGCCGACUGCGACAACCAGCCGGCUGCCGACUCCGACAACCAGCCGGCUGCCGACUAUGCCAACCAGCUGACUGCCAACUGUGCCAACCAGCCGGUUGCCGACUGCAGCCCGAAGCGACACCGACAAGACCCCGAUGUGGCAGCCAUACCGCGGACGAGACGGCUGUACCUCGAUGCCAUCAUGUAUAGUGUCACUUGUCCCCUGGCACUAUUUAUGAAGUGACCCAGGGGACAAGGAUGACACCCACCAUGCCUUGCUCCCAUACCACCACAUAGCUUAGAUAGUAAGCUAGCCAUGCCUAUAUAAAGGCACACAUCCAUUCAUCCAGGGGAUGGACUCCCAUGGCCACAUUCAUUUGGCCACAAGGCCACUCACGGCCACAAGCCACGGCCAUACAUGGCCACUAGAGCCGUCCAUACGCAUGCAUAUACCAGAUCAGAUGCAAUUGGCACUUAUCCCAGAUACAGCUCCAGGAGCACUUUGUACUACCCGAUGUACACCCCAGAUAGAUACACUCAGACAUGCAGCAGUAGGAGUAUUAUCUCUUCGGAGAGCUCCGAAGCUGGGUAAACCACCGCGUGCUACUCGCAUACCCGCUCCCGGGCCUAUCAGUAGCAGUCUUACCCUCACACUAAGCCCUCGUGGCAUAUGUCGUCUUGCACCCCCCCGUGAGAAUACCACGACAUGAAGACUUUGAGGAUUUUGAUGAUGAAGAUUUUGAAGAUUUCUUCUUCUUCUUAGCGUCAUCAGAACUGUAAUCCUUGUAUUUCUUCUUCUUUAAUUCCUUUUCUCACUGAGGACAAUCCUGAAUAUAGUGACCAGGUUUCUUGCAUUUGUGGCAAAGUCUUCUCUUAUAGUCACUUGAUGAGGAAUCACUGCUCCUUGAGGAUUUUCCAAAGCGACCACGUCUUGAGAACUUCUGGAAUUUCUUCACGAGCAGUGCUAGCUCCUGGCUCAAUUCUUCAGGAUCACCAAGGCUACUACCAGAGUUUUCACAUUCAGAUUUAGACACAGCCUUGGCCUUCAGGGCACGUGGUUUGCCAUAGCUUGAACCAUAGAGAUCUCUCUUUUCAGCAAGCUGGAACUCAUGAGUAUUUAGCCUCUCGAGGAUAUCAGCCGGAUCUAGUGACUUGUAAUCAGCGCGCUCUUGAAUCAUCAGUGCUAGAGUGUCAAAUGAAGAAUCAAGUGAUCUCAGCAAUUUCUUCACCACCUCAUGGUCGGUGAUAUCAGUGGCAUCGAGCGCUUGAAGUUCAUUUGAGAUAUCAAUGAGGCAAUCGAAGGUUUGCUGAACAUUUUCAUUGUCGAGUCUUUUGAAGUGGUUGAAGAGAUUGCGAAGAACGUCAACACGAGAGUCACGUUGAGUUGAGACUCCUUCGUUUACUUUGGAGAGCCUAUCCCAGAUAAGCUUAGCAGUUUCCAAAGCACUCACUCUACCAUACUGCCCUUUACUCAGAUGACCACAUGUGAUAUUCUUCGCUUGAGAGUCAAGUUGCUUGAAUCUCUUCACAUCAGCAGCAUUCAGGGAAGGUGUGACUGAGGGAACACCAUUUUCCACAACGUACCAGAGAUCAUUGUCAAUUGCUUCAAGAUGCAUUCACAUCUUACUCUUCCAGUAGGGGUAGUCCGUGCCAUCGAAGGUAGGACACCCAGCGGAGACCUUGAUCAUACCUGCGGUCAACAUAACUAGAACUCCAGGUGGUUAAACCAAAAACACACAGAACAAGGGAGUACCUUGCUCUGAUACCAAUUGAAAGUGCGUUAUAUCGACUAGAGGGGGGGUGAAUAGGCGAUUUUUAUGAAUUCUUCACUGAGAAAUUUGCCGGUGAGGAAAUUCCUUAGCGAAGAACUACUAGCAAUGGAAUAAGUACUCAGAAGUAAGCAUAACAGGAUACAAACAUAGUCAUCAUGAUGAAAUGAAGACAAGCACAGAGUACAGGAAGCGUAAACACAUGAUAACACAAGAUGAAGACAAAUAGACUGAAGAAAUUGAAUUGAGGAAAUUGAGAAAGUCUUCAGUCAAAGUCUUCAAACACAGAUAUGAACAAUCACUCAACACAGUAAUGAGGAAAUGAAAGAGUUGAGGAAGUAGAACCAGUAAGGUUGGUGAAGACAAUGAUUUGGUAGACCAGUUCCAACUGCUGUCUCAGUUGUGCGUCUGGUUGGAGCGGCUGAGUAUUUAAACUCGAGGACACACAGUCCCGGACACCCAGUCGCUGAGCACGCAGCUCAGGACACCAAGUCCUCACCGUAUUCUCCUUGAACUAAGAUCACACAGACCUCGUCCAAUCACUCGUGUAAGUCUUCAGGCGACUUCCAAACCUUCAAAGACUCGGUCACUCGGCGAUCCACAAUUCCUCUUGGAUGCUCUAGACCAUGACGCCUAACCGUCUGGAAGAAGCAUAGUCUUCAAAGGUAACAAGCGUCGGAUCCACGCAGGAUCAAUCUCUUCAGUGAUGCUCAAUCACUUUGGGGUUUGUAGGUGUUUGGGUUUGGGUUUUUCCUCCCUCGAUGAUUUUCGCUCAAAGUCCUCGGAGGAUGGGUUGCUCUCAAAUGACAAGUGUCAGUUUCUCUCGGAGCAGCCAACCAGCUAGUGGUUGUAGGGGGAGGCUAUUUAUAGCCUAGGGAGCAGCCCGACAUGAUAAAACAUAAAUGCCCUUGUCUGAUAUGACCGUUAGGUGGAUAAGAUAUUUUGGGACAACUGGCACGUAGCACAACAACGGUCGGAAAUUUGACUAUCAAAUUCCUCAAGGCUAUCAUGUUCCUCACUGUGUAGGCAAUCCGCACUGGCGAAUUCCUAACUCCUCAGUCAGAACAAAUUCCUCAGCGACCAGAAGAACUUCGUCUCUAUCACUGAAGAAAUUGACUGAACUGUAUGAGAUUUCCAAAGGCUUCACUCGAAGGGUUUGGUAGGUGUAGGAUUUUGAGUUGAGCAUCACUUGGAAAAUUUUCCUUAGUAUUUCCUCGACCCCCUUUAACAAUACGGUGUUUCCUAUGACUCAAGAAAGAGAAAAACAAAACUAUGAAAACGAAAGUCUUCAAGCUUCAUAUUCCUCGCAUGAAUAUUAAGUCUUCACGGAUACACCAAUUUCUUCACUUUCAAAGUCUUCAUGAAAGUCUUCAGGAAUACCAAAAUCUUCAGUCGAAGAUAUUCAUUUUUAGGGGUCGACUUUCCCUGUAAAUAUCAAACUCCUCAUAGACUUAUAGACCUGUGUACACUCACAAACACAUUAGUCCCUUAACCUAUAAGUCUUCAAUACACCAAAAUCACUAAGGGGCACUAGAUGCACUUACAAAUUGGAGAAGGCUGUUUUGUAUUCUUCACCGUCGGCAAUGCAGAUUUGAUGAUAACCCGCUCCAAGGUCAAGCUUGGAGAACCAAACUGCGCCGUGCAGUUCAUCAAGUAAUUCCUCAAUCACUGGUACUGGGAACUUGGGCACUGUGGUCAUAGCAUUUAGAUGGCGAUAAUCCACACAGAGGCGCCAUGUGUCGUCCUUCCUUUUCACUAGAAUCACCGGGGAUGCAAAUGGGCUAGCGUUGCGUCUGAUGACACCUUGUUUGAGCAGAUCUGCCACUUGUUCUUCGAUUUCUGUCUUAUGCUCUGGUUUGUGUCGGUAUGGGCGAAUGUUCACCGGUUGCGUCCCCAGCACCACUGGUAUGUGGUGGUCACAGUUACGCCGAGGAGGAAGCCCUUCCGGCUCUUGAAAGACAUCAGUAUACUGCUCCAAGAUAGCCUGAAUACGCUCGGGGGUAGCAUCCUGUUCUUCACCAUCCCCCAAGGUAACUUGAUACAAUCUGACUAUGUGAGAGACAACCCCCUGACGACACAAGCUGCCUAGCUACAUGCUGUUGAUAACCGGACAUGAGGAAGUCAAUGGAUGACCAUGGAUAUGCACUACCCUGUCAGGUGAGGGAAUAGCAAUGUGCUUGCCCUUCCAGUCGACAGUCAUCCGGCUGUUCUCCUCCAACCAGUCCAUUCCAAGUAUGGCAUCAUAAGUACCCAGAUCAAGGACCUUCAUGUCAGUCACAAACUCGUGCCCUUGCGAAAACAAUUUGCACUGAGGAAUGGAAGCUCGGCAUUGGAGCUCCCCGCCGCCUGCCACUUUGACGCGCCCCGCACGAGCCAAGGGAACAACUCCUUCCAAUUUAGCAGCCAACUGAGCGUCGACGAAUGAAGUGGAGCUGCCUGAGUCCACCAGCAUGAGCACUUCGUGUCCCUGGAGCCAUGCAUGAACUUGGAAUGCUUUAGGUGAAGUGUCGCCUGUCAAAGCAUGCUUGGAAAUGGCCAUAGCAGUCUCCACCGGCUGUGUCUGAUCAUUAUCAAGGACAAAAUCAAUGCCGAAGAGUUCCAAUAGUUCCUUGACCACAUGGAGUUGUACAGUGGUGGGGCAUGUAUGUUCCUGACCCCACCGCUCGCCACACUUGGCAGAGCCCACGAGCACACUGAUACUCGCAGAGCGCCUUGACCUUGGAGCUGUCCGCGCGGGCGCCGUCGAGCCCGUAGCGAUCCGUGGCUGCGGGGUGUUGUUGGUGCAGGCGUCGGGCGUUGUGGAGGAGGCGGUAGAGGAAGCGCUCGUCCUGGUCGUGGCCCCGUGUCCCCCGCAUGCGGAGGAGGUGGCGGUGGUGCUGCUGAGUAGGCGCACCCCACGACUUCCUCCUGGAGCAAGGCAAGAGAACACGCCAUGUCCAGAUCAGGUGGUCGCUGCACCAGAACCGCCGCACGGAUGUCCGCUCGUAGUCCCUCAACAAACCGAGUCAAGUAAAAAUAUGGAUGAGUGUUGUCAAAAUAUGAAACUAAAUGAUUCAUAACUGAUUCAAAACAUUCAAUGUAAUCUGCAACAGAGGUGGUCUGUCGAAUUGUAUAGAACUACCUAAUCAAAUGUUGAUGCCUGUCUCGACCAAACCGCGUACAGAGCAAGGUAGCAAAUGAUUCCCAAUCGAAGUCAAACAACUUGUUCUGAACCGAUUGCAACCAGAUGGACGCAGUGGCAGAGAAAUUGAGUGCAGCCAUGAGUACGCAAAACAUGGGGUGAAUUCCAAACAUGUUAAAAUACUGCUCACAUAACGUCUUCCACAGCUUUGGGUUCUCGCUGGCAAAUUGUGGAAACACCACAGAAGGAUGGGCUUGCCCCUAUCCAGCGAGCAAUUGACUUGCAUGAGAGAAAGGAGAAGCUACAGGGUCGGGUGACUGGAGGGGGUACUGACCAGUGCCUGGGAGGGGCGCUGGCAGCGUGGCCAGCACCUGCUCCCGGUCGAGGAAGGCGUCGCGGUGGUCAUUUGACCCGUGUGGCCGCCCCUGCGCGGUCGGUUCGACGCCAGGAGGAGUGCCGACCGCAGCGAGGAGUGGAUCGGUCGUUGACGAUCCUUGCAGCGCCACACCGAGCGCUGCCACCGCAGGUAGCCACCCUUGUUGCAGCUCCGCCACCGCGUCAGUGAGCUGGUCGACACAUGACGCUCGAGAUUGGGCCGCCACGCGACCAGAUCGUCCAGCUUGGCUGUGUGCGGGUGGAUCGUGGCUGUGUUGCUCGUCCAUGGACUUCGUGAUCGUGUCCAUGUACUCGUCCAUGGACUUGGUGAUCGUGUCCAUGUACUCCUUCAUGGUGGGAUCCAUGGCUUCGAUCUGAACACGGGCUUGAUGCAGACGCCUGGUUUCUACGAACAGAGCCAGAUCGAGGUAGGGAAGAGGUGGUGGUUGUCUCUGAUACCAUAUGUUAGGAGCAAUGACGGGGAAUCGAUCUAUUGUCUCAGGAAUUACUCAACCCCGAUUACAAUUUGGGUACAUGAAUGGAGGAACGAGAAAGGGGAAUAGGGUUCGUGCCGCCGCCGGUUCAUUGAUCCGCUGGAUGGUGAUUCUGUGGAAGGGACUCGGUUAAGUAGUGGCAGCCUCUGGGCCGGGCCACACUUACACCCACUCUGGCCUGCUCACUCGAGGGUUGCUCCUGCGAGCCCGCGGCAGUCUUGGUGGCAUGGGCGAGCCGUUGGAGUCGCUGCGCUGUGGGGUCGCCAUGUCAGGUAUGUUGACACUUAACAACAUCAUCACUUGCCACCACCUAUAGCCAAUGAAAAGCAGUAAAGUUUCUCAUUUUUCAAAUGAUCCAGAGCAACGAAGCUAACACUUGAGAUCAAUCUAGGCAGAUUGGAAACCACACUAAAACAGAGGUAAAUAUUCCAAGCAUUUGCUAGCAUAGAUCAUGAUAUAAAAGCAUAGCUUUAGACACUUGUAAGCCCUUGAUUGAUGAAAACAUGAGGAGGCUUGGUUUUAACCAGCCGUAGCAUUUGGACUAGAUGGUAAGCCGUAUAUAGACAAUGCACAACUGUAUUGUUCAGUUUUGAGAUCACUUGUCCCUAGAACUAAAUGUAUCAGCCAAUAGGCCACUAAAAAUACAGCAGACUAGUGAAGCAUGAAUUACUUUCAAAGCAGUUAAUCCCUUCAAAAAAAGAUACUGCAGAAAGAACCAAGAUUUUCAGCUCACAAGAAUGAGAACAAGCAACCAACAAACUGGAUCAAAACUGAAUCCUCCGAUUGAUAAACGCAUUGCGGCCAUCAACAAGUCCAAAAUAGUACCCCCAUAAAAAAGAAGGCAGUAGUGGCUGUUGUUAAUCUUCGGUACGGUUUGCAAUUCUCUCUUCGUAAUAGUAGCGUGCUCAUCUCAAGUAUUCUACUAGUAACUACUCUGAAUCAUGUAUACUUAUGCUCUGAAUCAUGUUUAAAUGGCAUACAUGAAUGUCGGCGCCUACACAAGGAUAUUAACUUUAGUAUUGAGUGGUUUGAGACAGGAAGAAAUGAAAAUCUCCCUAGGUUGAAUUGAAUUUUUAAGAGUUUGUCUCGUACUCCCUCCGUUCCAAAAUAAGUGUCGCAACUUUAGUACAACUUGUACUAAAGUUAGUACAAAGUUGAGACACUUACUUUGGGACGAAGGGACUACUAGACAAAGUGAUCAGGAUUUGAAAAGUUGUGAAGUCACAGUCACAUAAAAAGGGCAUAAAAAACAAUACAGACAUAGAAUUACACAAAAGAAAUCAGCACUUGGUCAAAGGGAUAUUUACUCAUCAUGGGGAUGUGCGCCAAAAAUCCUGCAGAUAAUGAGAAUGCUAAUAUAGCAAGGGAGGAUGGUCUUGCAAGAUAACUAUAGUGGCCUGUGACAGGAAAUGUAAAUGAUUGUCUACAACCGGUCUCUAAAAUCUUAAUAGCUCAACUGCAUCAUUACCUAGCGAAUCAAUGGACCGCUACCUAAUUAAAGCUCUCAAGCACUGUAGUUGAUCAAUCAGCGACCAUAUAAAACAUGGAAUUUUGCAGAGGACAAGCAGUAAGAUGUGAUUUUGCUGUCAUCUCAUAAGCUAGAAAAAAAUAUAAUAAGAAAGUAUGGAGUUAAGAAGCACAUUCAUGCCUAAAUGAAAACAGGAGUUUAGAAGCCAACAAAACAUGGAAGCAAAGCAUAAUGUGCACAGAAAUUGUUAAAUAUGCAGAUAGAUUCAGCAUCUGGUAACGGGGCGGUAAACUUCUGGGUAGCUGAUAAUUCAUGUUGUCCAGUAUCACAUCUUGCAUCAAUAAGUUUUGGUACUACAAAGGUCGGCAGCACAAAAUUGAUAUAGUUGUGAAAAUACCAAAACAUCUAUAUCCGGCAACGUUUUCGUCCCAAGAUUCACCCACUUGUGUGAAAGUGACCCAUGGUGAAUUAUGUACAUGGCACGUGGUAUUAUUUUGGUACCUGGCGGUGUACAAACAUGUGGUGUAUCUAGGUUUUCGUUUGAAAGUUUUUGAACAUGUGUACAUGUUGCGUUGGUUCGUCUAGCGUUUUUCUGCUGUGGGUGGGCUAGUCUGUACAUUUGGCUUCGCGGCCCGAUGCAUAUUCCUUCCUUCUGUACGACGGCUGGGCGCUCAGCCGCUCAUGGCUCAUGGGUCAUGGCAGAGCAGAGAGCACGCGCCCCUGCCUGGCUCCAUGGUUCUUUGCCGAUGUCCAUCCCAUCUCCACGGCGUUGCCCCUGGCAUCCUGCGCGCGGCCACCACCUGCUGGUUCGGCCGCCUCUCAUCGGCGUCAAGAGCUCGCCGUGCCGCCGCUACCUGCUGGGUCGACCGCUUCUCAUCGGCGUCAAGAGCUCGCCGUGCCGCCGCUACCUGCUGGGUCGACCGCUUCUCAUCGGCGUCUAGAUCUCGCCAUGCUGCCGCACUCUGUAGCAGCCAACAGUGGCAGGGCAACAGCAGAGGGGCGGCGCUGUCCUCCCGGGCCAAACUCGCGCAACUCAAGCUCGGCCGUCGAGGUUCGGCUGGGCCUCCUCCAAUGGUGCCUCGACCCGUCCGUCUCCAUGCCGUUUCAGGAUCGCCACCGGCCUCCUCCAAUCGCCUCGGUCUAAACUUCUUUGAUGAUUAAUAGAGCAGUAGUACAGGCGAUGUCCUUCUCCAAUUCUCAUGCCGCACAAGAUCGUACAACGGGAGGAUGUUGGUAUUGGAUCCCGUCUCCUCACUCUCCCCUAUUGAUAUUCCUUUAAUUUUCCCCAUUACUAAUCAGCCUGCUUAUGCUUCGUACGCUUCAGGCCUGUGUUCUUCUUUUAACUGUUGCUGCUGCACGCACGAGCUCAGGAAUUCGGACCCAUUCCUCAUGUUCUUAGGUAUUUCUUCAUUCUGAAUCAAUGUUCAAGCCAUAUGGUUCAGAGGUGUAACACUUGUUGCAACCAUUUUGUUUCCUGAUCGAUAGCUUCGUCUGUUGGUUUCAGUCUCCAAGCUCACUGAGUUCCCCGAUCAUCCCCACUGAGAAUUCCAGGCCGUCAUCUACAUGCUUGAUGGAGGCAUGCACACAUGCAAAUAAUGAAACCAUUAUGUGUUGAGCUUGAGCAUAAUUACAAAUUCAGCUUUUAAUCCUACAAAGUUAUCCCUAUAGGUCAUUAAACUUACAGUAGUUUCGAUUUAUUUUUGAAGCACUUAUUCUCUUUCUCCUAUUGUCUAUUCUUUCUCGUGGUAAAACCACACAAAUUGAGUGAAAUUAGUCCGAAGGACAGCGGGGAGAAUGUUCUGUUCAAUUGUUAAAACCAUUGAUUUAGGGUCCUACUUUUUCUUAAUUUAACCGGCUAGAAUUUAAUUACUUCCACCUUAUAUUUCUUUGCAUACAAUUAGUUUUGGUACAAGGGCUUAUAUUAUUGUUUUGCUCAUCCUGUAGUUUUGGUUUAGCAAAGCAUCAACUAUUUCAUCUAAUCCAUAUCCUGCUCAAGUACAUUUCAGUCACUAAAGUUCAGUUCUCCUGCUUUCCAAAAGUUGGAAGUGUUCCUCAACAUCCUAGCCAUUCUGGUUGUUCAUCUACAGGUAGACUACUUCUCUUUAUUUGGUAUUUCUGCCUUAGAUUACUAUGUAUAUUGUUGCAUGGUCUUGCAUAACACAUAUGUCUGUUCUAUAAGGAUCAAUCCUUGCUUUCAUCGUUUUGAGAGAUCAUACUUGGAUAUUUCAAUAGCUUGAAUUUCCAGUUUGACAUCCUCCGGUUCGUCCUCUGUACACGAUGAUCGGUUGAUCAUGUAUAUGAUCUCUCUUUUGCCUUCCUUCUCCUAUAGAAGAAAGCAAUGUUUAGUAGUAAUUUUUCGGUAGUAUUUCGCUGGCUACUGCUUAGUCUGUACUGUAGUGCUUGCUAUGCCUUGUUUUGCAGUCUUUUCUUAGCUUGCUACUACCUGUUAUGAAUUAAUUUCUUUAGCUUGCUACUACCUCUUCUUCUAUUACCUGUUCACUUGGUACUACAUGUUCUGUUUCUGUACUUUUUUCUUGUAGUGAAGGCAGAGAAUAUGCAUCCUUUGAAGUCUCCAACUGUGCUAUCUUCUUACAGAUUUAUCUUCCUGUCCUGUUUGGCGUCAAAUUCUUUGUAUUUCUCUUGGGAUUUUGAUGGACUUUAUAAUAUUCUCUGAAUCUAAUCGUGCUGCGGGACCGACGGAAGAUGAUCACAGUGCGGCUCGAAUUCAUAUGGACCGCCACCAAUUUUAAUUGAAGAUCACCGUGAAAUGCAUACAGAAGAAACUAAAAACAUAGUAUACAGAGAUCAUUGAUUCUCGUAGUCACUUACCCACCAAGAAAGCUACAUGAUAGUUUCUUUAGUAAUAGGUAUAUAUUUUUAGUAAUAGGUACUCCCUUUGUAAAGUAAUAUGAGAGCGUUUAGAUCACUAAGUAGUGAUCUAAACACUCUCAUAUUAGUUUACAAAGGGAGUACAUGAUAGUAUCCUCUUUCUGUACAGGCCCAGGAAUUUUAUAGGUUCAAUUAUUAAUUGUUGCACAUAGUUGGAUUUGUUUCUAAGUUCUAAUUUGCUCUAUAACAGUAAGAAUGUAGUUCUCCAUAGUUCAGUGCUACGAUUAAGUAAUUCCUGUAAGUGAGUAAAUAGGUGACACUCAGAUUGUCAGAAUGUGCUUAGUUUUUGUAUAGCAUUUUCUAGGUCUGUACAACACUUUGAAUCUUGCAAAGAGAGAUAAUUCUGAAGCUAUUUCGUAUUUGCUGUGCACAUGCAGUUUUUGUUUUUGUUUCAUGUGGUCCAUCAAGAAUCAACGAAAUAAUGUUCAGGAGUUGUUAGAACAAGACUCGCCACAGGACUGAGACUAGCAUGUUCAAGGCUUCAGGAACUGAAGAGAGAGAGAGAGCUCAGUCACAAUUUAUAUGACAAAAGGAGCAUGUUUAUUUGUGCGUGGGAGUAAAGAGGUCCGUAUUUGCAGAGCAUAGUGAAUAGUGAUACCUUCAAAGCUACAAGUACAGUAGUUCAACAUAGGCCGGGGACUUUCCCUGCUGCUCUAAUCCGCUUGACCUGUUCAAGGGAUGUUUUGUUGUUCCCGUAUGGUCGAUGAAAAUUUACUGGAGGCUAUACAACAGGUCCUAUAUUUAGGAUUGUCCCUAUGAUAUGUACUUAAGGUAGGUUUUGAGGACUGAAACUCCAUUGGGUGAUCGCUCACGCUUCUGUAUGUAAAUGUGCAUUCGAGUUGUGGUUGUUUAUCUCAGCAUGCAGCUUGCUCUCUUUCUUUCUUCUUUUCUUUUUUGGCAAAGUAGAGUUCGCCCUUUUUACCCAUUUGUGUUUGUGAUGAUUUUGUGUGAUAGGAAGCAUGAUACCAUUGCUACCCCGUCGGCAAUGGAUGUCCCACGAGUACAAGGGAGAGGCGUAAAUGUGCACAUACACCUUCCGAGGAAACCUGGGUCGGCUCCGAUGGAAAGAAAAUGCAAGGCAAGAUGGCACGCCAAUAAGGCCUCGCCCUCCAUAAAGUAGAAGAUCUGUCUUCAGUUUUUUGGACCCUCUUUGCACUCCCACUUUGUCCUCGAACUGGAAGCAUAUGCCUCAUGACAUAAGCUAUGGAUGACAGUAACACAAAUCUUAGUACCAGAGUAGCAAUGUGUACUUCCUACUUUGUAAAAUAUAUAUAUCGAUCAUGUGAUGAAUAAAUGUAUGCUUUGCAAUUCGCCUUUAUACAUUACUUGCCUUACUGUAACUCCCAAAUUGCACAUAUAUUUCUCUAAAAUCUAAAUUGUUCAAAUAGAAGAAAUUAGCAAACUAACAUACUAUGCCGUAACAUAUUUCGUCAUCAUGUAUCAACGGGGCGCGGCGUGCCGCCGUGCGGGCAUUGCUAGUAUACUUAUACAACACAGAAAAACAGAUGCCAUCUAGUGCAAGCAAGCUCUGUUAAUGCCUAACUCUGGUUUGCAUAGAUCAUAGGCAAACAUUCCCUACGAUGUAACCAGUUACAGGCUAAACAGACGUAAAUAUUCUGACCAUUUGCUGGGCGUAAAUCAUGACAAGCCUUGAUUAAGCAAACCUGAGAUUAAACGUAUAUAAAACUCUGCAACUGCAGUGUUCGGAGAUCAGUCACUAGUAAAAAAAAGACCUAAUAUGAGAAACAUUAGUACCAGUUCGCAUAUGAGCCGGCACUAAUGCGCCCAUUAGUGCCGGUUCAAAUGACUUGGCAGGAGGUGACCUUUAGUACCGGUUCUUUGGGAAUCUUUAGCACCGGUUCGUGCCACGAACCGGUAGUAAAGAUGCUGGUGCCCGGCCAGCACCUUUAGUACCGGUUUGUAGCACGAACCGGUACUAAAGAUGUUGUGGCAGGCGCUAUUUUUAGUCCCACCUCGCUCCCCUAACAAGAAUUUGACCACCUUAAGUAUGUUACUUCUCAAACUAUCCCAAACAUUUGGUCUUCAUUGAACUCUAUGUGUAGGAUCUGUGGCUGCAAUAGGAGUCUUCACCGGUUCUUAAAUCGGUGGUAGAUUCCUAUUGACGAUUUAGAUUCUAUACAAAAAGAUUGUUGAUGAUCAAUGUAUUUUUUAUAUGUACUUCUGUGUAGCAGUAGCGCGUUUUGGCUGAAAGCCGGUACUGAUCAAUGUAUUUUUUCUGCGUUCAGAUGCACAAUUUAAAUAUGUUAUUUUUCAAACUAUCACAAGCAUUUGGUCUUCAUUGAACUCUCUAUAUAUAAAGAAGAAGAAGAAGAGGAGGAAGAAGAAGGAGAAGAAGACGAAGAAGAAGGAGAAGAAGGAGAAGAAGAAGAGGAGGAAGAAGAAGAAUAAGAAGAGGAAGAAGAAGGAGGAAGAAGAAGAAGAGGAAGAAGAAGAGGAAGAUGAAGAGGAAGAAGAAGAGGNNNNNNNNNNNNNNNNNNNNNNNNNNNNNNNNNNNNNNNNNNNNNNNNNNNNNNNNNNNNNNNNNNNNNNNNNNNNNNNNNNNNNNNNNNNNNNNNNNNNNNNNNNNNNNNNNNNNNNNNNNNNNNNNNNNNNNNNNNNNNNNNNNNNNNNNNNNNNNNNNNNNNNNNNNNNNNNNNNNNNNNNNNNNNNNNNNNNNNNNNNNNNNNNNNNNNNNNNNNNNNNNNNNNNNNNNNNNNNNNNNNNNNNNNNNNNNNNNNNNNNNNNNNNNNNNNNNNNNNNNNNNNNNNNNNNNNNNNNNNNNNNNNNNNNNNNNNNNNNNNNNNNNNNNNNNNNNNNNNNNNNNNNNNNNNNNNNNNNNNNNNNNNNNNNNNNNNNNNNNNNNNNNNNNNNNNNNNNNNNNNNNNNNNNNNNNNNNNNNNNNNNNNNNNNNNNNNNNNNNNNNNNNNNNNNNNNNNNNNNNNNNNNNNNNNNNNNNNNNNNNNNNNNNNNNNNNNNNNNNNNNNNNNNNNNNNNNNNNNNNNNNNNNNNNNNNNNNNNNNNNNNNNNNNNNNNNNNNNNNNNNNNNNNNNNNNNNNNNNNNNNNNNNNNNNNNNNNNNNNNNNNNNNNNNNNNNNNNNNNNNNNNNNNNNNNNNNNNNNNNNNNNNNNNNNNNNNNNNNNNNNNNNNNNNNNNNNNNNNNNNNNNNNNNNNNNNNNNNNNNNNNNNNNNNNNNNNNNNNNNNNNNNNNNNNNNNNNNNNNNNNNNNNNNNNNNNNNNNNNNNNNNNNNNNNNNNNNNNNNNNNNNNNNNNNNNNNNNNNNNNNNNNNNNNNNNNNNNNNNNNNNNNNNNNNNNNNNNNNNNNNNNNNNNNNNNNNNNNNNNNNNNNNNNNNNNNNNNNNNNNNNNNNNNNNNNNNNNNNNNNNNNNNNNNNNNNNNNNNNNNNNNNNNNNNNNNNNNNNNNNNNNNNNNNNNNNNNNNNNNNNNNNNNNNNNNNNNNNNNNNNNNNNNNNNNNNNNNNNNNNNNNNNNNNNNNNNNNNNNNNNNNNNNNNNNNNNNNNNNNNNNNNNNNNNNNNNNNNNNNNNNNNNNNNNNNNNNNNNNNNNNNNNNNNNNNNNNNNNNNNNNNNNNNNNNNNNNNNNNNNNNNNNNNNNNNNNNNNNNNNNNNNNNNNNNNNNNNNNNNNNNNNNNNNNNNNNNNNNNNNNNNNNNNNNNNNNNNNNNNNNNNNNNNNNNNNNNNNNNNNNNNNNNNNNNNNNNNNNNNNNNNNNNNNNNNNNNNNNNNNNNNNNNNAAUACAGCAAAAAAACCUACUCAGAAAUAAAUAGAAGAAAAAAAUAAAACAGAAAAGAAAUAACUAUAUAAAAAAUUACUCAAAAAUAAAUAGAAGAAAAUAAAUAAUGCACAAAAGAAAAAAAUUUAUAAAAAAAUGUUGGGGCGCUGCCUGGUGGGCCUGCCAGACCUAGGGUGUGCAAAUACAGGCCCAGAAGGGCCAGCAGGCUCACAGGGCAGCGCGCCCUAGUUAGGCCCAGAAGCCUGCUAUAUAGAGGAGUUCGAAAGGGCAGCCGCGGCUGGGUUUAUAAACCAGUGCGGCCGCCCUUCGCUCGGCGAGGUGGGACUAAAAGUAGCGCACUGCGGGUGGCAGCGCAGAGCCAUUAGUACCGGUUGGUGGCUCCAACCGGUACUAAUGUGUUGCCCUUUAAUACCGGUUGGAGCCACCAAUCGGUACUAAAGGCCCGCGUUUUCCGCCGCUUGGGCUGUCUAAAAUUGGGCUUUAGUACCGGUUGGAGCCACCAACCGGUACUAAAGGCCCCUCUUAUAUAUAUGUCACUUACGAAAAUUCAGUUAUCGUCGCCACUUUGUUCCACUUCUCGCGCGAGUCUCGAUCUCCGACGACGACGUCGACGCCACCGUGCCGUCGACCGCGUGCACGUCGUCGCCGUCCCCGGCGCCCUCGCCGCACGUCAUCGUCGUCGUCGCCGCCCCCGUCGCGCCUGUCUCGUCGCCGUCCCCGGCCGCCGCCCGUCUCGNNNNNNNNNNNNNNNNNNNNNNNNNNNNNNNNNNNNNNNNNNNNNNNNNNNNNNNNNNNNNNNNNNNNNNNNNNNNNNNNNNNNNNNNNNNNNNNNNNNNNNNNNNNNNNNNNNNNNNNNNNNNNNNNNNNNNNNNNNNNNNNNNNNNNNNNNNNNNNNNNNNNNNNNNNNNNNNNNNNNNNNNNNNNNNNNNNNNNNNNNNNNNNNNNNNNNNNNNNNNNNNNNNNNNNNNNNNNNNNNNNNNNNNNNNNNNNNNNNNNNNNNNNNNNNNNNNNNNNNNNNNNNNNNNNNNNNNNNNNNNNNNNNNNNNNNNNNNNNNNNNNNNNNNNNNNNNNNNNNNNNNNNNNNNNNNNNNNNNNNNNNNNNNNNNNNNNNNNNNNNNNNNNNNNNNNNNNNNNNNNNNNNNNNNNNNNNNNNNNNNNNNNNNNNNNNNNNNNNNNNNNNNNNNNNNNNNNNNNNNNNNNNNNNNNNNNNNNNNNNNNNNNNNNNNNNNNNNNNNNNNNNNNNNNNNNNNNNNNNNNNNNNNNNNNNNNNNNNNNNNNNNNNNNNNNNNNNNNNNNNNNNNNNNNNNNNNNNNNNNNNNNNNNNNNNNNNNNNNNNNNNNNNNNNNNNNNNNNNNNNNNNNNNNNNNNNNNNNNNNNNNNNNNNNNNNNNNNNNNNNNNNNNNNNNNNNNNNNNNNNNNNNNNNNNNNNNNNNNNNNNNNNNNNNNNNNNNNNNNNNNNNNNNNNNNNNNNNNNNNNNNNNNNNNNNNNNNNNNNNNNNNNNNNNNNNNNNNNNNNNNNNNNNNNNNNNNNNNNNNNNNNNNNNNNNNNNNNNNNNNNNNNNNNNNNNNNNNNNNNNNNNNNNNNNNNNNNNNNNNNNNNNNNNNNNNNNNNNNNNNNNNNNNNNNNNNNNNNNNNNNNNNNNNNNNNNNNNNNNNNNNNNNNNNNNNNNNNNNNNNNNNNNNNNNNNNNNNNNNNNNNNNNNNNNNNNNNNNNNNNNNNNNNNNNNNNNNNNNNNNNNNNNNNNNNNNNNNNNNNNNNNNNNNNNNNNNNNNNNNNNNNNNNNNNNNNNNNNNNNNNNNNNNNNNNNNNNNNNNNNNNNNNNNNNNNNNNNNNNNNNNNNNNNNNNNNNNNNNNNNNNNNNNNNNNGAAAUGUUAAUGUUAGAUGAAUUAGAAAUGUUAAUGUUUAGUUGAACUAGUUGAAUUAAUAUAUAGAUCGAACUAGUUUAUUUUUAGUAAAUGCUUAGCUGAACUUUUUGAAUUAAUAUAACUAGUUUAUUUUUAGUAAAUGCUUGGUUGAACUAGUUGAAUUAAUAUAACUAGUUUAUUUUUAGUAAAUGUUUAGUUGAACUAGUUGAAUUAAUAUAUAGAACUAGUUUAUUUUUAGUAAAUGCUUAGUUGAACUAAUUGAAUUAAUAGAACUAGUUUAUUUUUAGUGAAUGCUUAGUUGAAUUAAUAGAAAUAGUUGAAUUAAUUAAAUUAGUAAGUGUUUAAUGUUUCGCCUAAUAUGAACAUAGGAAAUGUCGUCUGACGACGAAAAAAAUUUCAUUAUGUGCGAGUACUGUGAAGACCAGCGCGGCCAGUGCGACAGAAAUUUCCUUGUUGACGGUAGGCGAUUCAGCAUCAAGCUGGAUGAGACCUUCGAAUUCGAUAUAGUAAGUCACAACGACAAGUCUGUUUUCGUAAUUAAGCAUGACUUAUAUAUAUACUUCAUUUGCCUGACUUAUAAUUUUUAAUUUUCAUUAUUCUAGUAGCGCAUCCCCUGCCAUGUAAUAAUUUUUGUCUUGGAUAAGAUAGGUUUCAAAGAUAUGGAAACUAUGGUGGUAAAGAGAGUUUACCUGAAAACUGAGCAUGAUGGUUAUACUUUCAACGUCAAAGUAUACAAUGCACUCACGCACACCUAUUUUGACAGCAAAACUUGGCAAGCACUAUGCAAGGCUUAUGCAUUUGAGCCUGGUAUGAUUAUCACCUUUGAUAUUCGUCCGGAAGAUGAUAUUGAAGGUAAUAGAGACAUAUGGGUCGAUGUGCAGACGCCUCCAGUUCUACCAUUAUAUGAGUUCUUCUCAACUAUAUUUUUGUAUUUGAUAUUGCUUAUUCAAAAAUAAUUGACAACUAAUUUCUAUUGACAGCUUAUCUCCAUUCAACCAAACAUGUCCAAACUACGAGGAGAUAAGUCAUUAUGUUUCAUGGCUUGAGGAUCUUCAUACUGUCAAGACAAAUUUUCUUCCUGCACUUAGAAAUAUUAAUACUUAUAAUGUGCGACCAAUAGUGAUGGUAUUGAACUACGGUCACAUCUAUUUAGGAAUGAUGGUAAGAUUUUUACUAUUUGUCCUCAGUGCAUCUUUUGCAUACAUAAUUUUUCUGCUAAACUAUCAUUGCUAAGUAUAUUAAUUAAGUACUAUACGAUGUUCUUCAACAGAGACUCCCGAUGACAGUUGUGCCUUAUGGGAUCGAGACUAAAGGUCGCAUGUCAAUUGUUAACUUACGGCCAAGAUAUCCUGCAUUGCACAUUAAUGCAUUCAGAAUUUUUAGAAGCGAUGAAUGCUUAAUAGUGAAAGAUUGGAGGAAAAUUAUUAACGAUUGCAGAGAAGUACUAGGGGGCAGCAAUGAGAAGCGCAUCCCACGAUUAGGAGACAGGUUCAUCGGCAUGCUCCAGUUUGAUGAAUCAGGAGAGUUAUACAUAUUCUAUGCUAUUUUACCAGAAAGAGAGUAGCUAGCAGGAGUGAUUUAGCUAGUUCAUGCUGCUCUUAGUACUUCUCCUUUCAUGUCCGUGUCCUUCGUUCUGAACUUAAGUGAUUUGCUUUUGUGGUGUUAUAUAUGAACGCUUAUAAUAUCAUGACAAUCAUGUUGAACUCGAUGAUAUUUUUGCUUUUGGUACAAGUGAAUGUUUCUUCUUUAAGCUAGUAGUGCUGGUGGUGAUUAGAUAUAUAGCUAGCGGUAAUGCAUGACUAUGAUGAUUAAUAUGAUGAUGAUGAUGAGUAGUUAUUAUAUCAUUUAAUGAAAGAAACCGCAGAUUAGUUUCAGCUGGAUGGAUCCUACCUAAGUGAUCAAGUAUAUGCCAUAUCCGUAUAUAUUAUAGUUGAUCAAGUAUAAUUAAUAUGGAUGUGGCAUAUACUUGAUCACUUAGCUAGCUAUCCAAUGCAUCCAGUCGAAACUAAUCCGCGGUACUUUCACCUAAUGAUUUAACAACUCAUUAUAAUGUAAAACAAUCACUAAAUUAAAUUACAAACACAAAAUUAAAGGAAAAAAAACACCCAAACAUUUAGUACCGGUUGGUAACACCAACCGGUACUAAUGCCCUACAUGCAAACGGGCCUGGCUCGUGCCACGUGGUGGCACUUUAGCCGGUUCUGACGAACCGGUACUAAAGGGGGGGACCUUUAGUCCCCACUCUUUAGUGCCGGUUCACGAACCGGCACAAAAGGCCUUCACAAACCGGCACAAAAGGCCAGUUCUGCACUAGUUAAUUGUCAUAAGAAACUUUACAGCAAAACAAAGAUUUCAGCGCACCCUCCAGGCUAUAAAAGAACAUGGCUUGGCCAUAAGCAUGUACAAGCCUGUUCCAACCCCAAUCAGAGAUGAGGAACUCAAACCUUCGCUGAAGCGAUUCUUUGGAUGCCCUCAACAAAAUCAAAACCUUAGACACAGGAAUACUCACCCUCAGCAUCACUCAACCUGAACGCCUUCUUCAGGUACUCCAUUUUGGCAGUGAUAUUUUUCCCGCCAAGGAAUGCGACAAUGCACAGGGUGUGUCUGAACAUCCCAUAGUCACGGCGCACACCAAUGCCAUUGGUGCAAGCCAACAUCGCCUAGGAUGCAUUAAAUUUCAAAACAGAAAUUUUAAUACAAUGCAGAAUGGCAUGCUCUCACCUAGUUCCAAGUUAUAAAUAAAAUGGCAUGAGGAUGAACAAGUUCACAACCAAGUCAUGGUUUCUGCUCUACUAAAUGAUAACACUAACAUAUCAGGAUUGAAAUUAUCAGUUUUAUUUCAUCAAGCGUUGGCAAUGACCAUACCAGCAUCUAACAGAGCAGACAACCAACAUCCAGUUAGGCAAAGUACACCAAAAUAGGAAUUACCAGCUUCCCGGACAAUGAAAACUUUGUUGCACCGUACAUGGUUUACCAAUUUUCAUAGCCCAUUCUUGGUUCACGUAAAUCUGAAUCUAGCCGGCACUUCCCCUUUGCAAGCAGCCACAUAGUCUUCAGCGAGGUGUGGUGCGGCUUCCUUGUGGGGGCAGAUGAACUUUUUCAUGAAAACCUUCUCAGUCUCAACCAGUGUUGUAUAGUAGCUCCGCCCGUGCUCUAGCAAUCCAUUUUCCUUGAGAAAUUUCACAACAUAGUAGCGGGGCCUGAGCCGGCCCUCCAGGCUGUAGGUGAGCAUAGCCGGCCGAUGAGCAAUGUAGGCCGGUUCCAACCCAACCUCAGAGAUAAGGAAGUCGGACCUGCGCUUCAGCAUGUCCUUUGACCUCGCCAGCAUAAACGGACCCUUGGACACAGCAAUGCCAACCUCGGCAUCCGACCACCUAAACGUCUUCUUCAAAUAGUCCACUUUAGCAGUGAUCUUCUCCUCGCUAAAGCAUGAGACGGCAUGCAGGGCGUGCCCGAACAUUCCAGAGCUACGGGGCACACCUAUACCUUCGGCGCACGCAACCAUCUCCAGGACGUGCCCUAGUUUGGCGCCAAACAUCCUCGGCGCACCUAUGAACAACUUGGCAAUUUCACAAGCACCUAGCCCGCACUCUGCUAGGAGCUUGACAUUUGGCUUGACCACCCUCUCGAGGUCAGAGCCGAGGACAUGUCUGAGCGGCCGGAGCAAGUUAUCGAUGGGGCCGAAGAGUGGAAGGUAGUACUCUAGCUUGGAGACGACGGAUCUGCAGCGGAAGUAGCCGGGGGCGAGCGAGACGAGGCGCGCAAUCUCAGCAUUUGACAGGCCGAGGCCGGUGAGCCCAGCGACGACAGGGGACAGGGUUGUCUCCACUUUGGCGCAGAGGAAAAGCGGGUCCCUGGCGACGAGGGCUGUCGCACCGGCGCCGGAGAGGCCGAGGCCGGCGAGGAAGGCGAGGACAACGUCGGGCUUGGCGGGGGACUUAAGGUGGGAGAGCUUGGCGGAGGCCAGUGCCUGGGCACGGGUGAGGCCGCAGGUGGAGACGAGGUAGUCCUCGACGGCGAAGCUAGGGUUCGGUGAAAUGGCGGACGCGGCGGCGGAGAGGAGGUGGUGGAGAGAGAGAGGAGUAGGGUGGUAGAAGGAUGGAGAGCGGCGGAGAGGAGAUGAGAGAGGACGCGCUGCCGGAGGUGGAGCAUGACGCCGACGGCGGCGGCGGUGGCGGCGUUGGAUGUGGGAUGCGGCGUGUGUCUCCCUCCUCCGAUGGUGGGGGAGCAACUACAAUAGAAUCUAGACUUGUGAUAGAAGAAUAGAAAAAACUAAUCUGGGCCAUCGAAUCGAACAUGAAUGGUACAGAUUCUUGAUGGAGUCACCCCACGCCACUAAAUAUACAUUUUAUGAAAACCCCCCUGAAACUGGUUAGGCAUAGAAUUUAACUUUUACAGUAUCCACCUCACCUUUCUCAUAUCCCAUCAUUUUGUCCCUAAUAAGUAAGACUAAUUUUCAAAUCCUCACAGCGUUGAUGCCUCCUGUAUGCACAUAUCCUAGUAGCUUCUACUAAAUCACUAAUUAUACAAGAAAAUUGAACACAUUGGUCAACAAAAAGUAUCUCAAUAUCUAUCACAGAUAUUGUGUACGUGAGAAAAAAUGAGCCACCCCCCUUAACUACAUCUCAAACUAGACCAUUCAAGGCACAAACAUUUGAGUACAUGUCAAUAUUUAAGUACAUGUCAAACCGAGCAAUCUCAUGUACAAAUUUGAGUACAUGUCAAACUGGGUCAUCCCAUGCACAAAAUUUGAGUACUUGUCAAUAUGCAGCAUCCUGGGCAUACAAGAGAUAUACAUACAUAUCCAGCGAUACAUUGCAUGACAGAAUCAUAUGGACUAAAUGAUCACCGUUGAACAACCAUUGCUAUAAAAAAUCUGCCUCCAGUUCUAUUGCUUCUUGCUCAUCGAGCUUCAUGUGCUGAAAAGAUCACACCAAACAAGUACGAUUCAGUUUGAGCACAAGACCAAUGUUAGUGUCGUACAACCAUACUUAAAAAUUUUACUCAUGAACUAAUCAAAUGAAUGUGCAUCAACAAUACAUUUGGCUAGCAGGAACAAAACUGUAAACUGAAUAUAGUCAUUUGAACACUUCACAUAGCAUCAUCACUACACUAGCAAUAAGAAUUGAUCAGGGGUAACUUUUUCCAUAGCGGGGAGAUAAAUUUUCUUACAUCAUUCUCUCAAAUAUGUGAGUGGAAAGAUUAUUCACGUGCAAUAUAACCAGCCUAAAGCAUUUGGAUACCAUUUUCCAUUCCAUGUGAUUGUUGCUUUCUACAUAGAACAUGAAAUGUAUUACACUUAUGACAUCUUUUUAUUAUGUGUUACUACUACAUGCAUGUCUCCCACGACUCCGAAAGAAACAAAGUUAGAAAAGAGGGCACAAGUUAAUUGAGAGCAUGUGUCCUGAGCGGUGAACAAAUAAUGAACCUUUUAAGCCACUAAGACACAAUUGACCGAAGAAAGUACUCAAUAAUAUUUUUGUACUGAAAAAUAUAUGAUUUCUUUCGAGUGUUUUGUUCACCAAUUGAUUGAGUUAGUAGAUAAUUUCCAUAUUAGGCCUACUUCUUGGCUUCCUACAGUCAGAAAGAUUGAAAGUGAUGCCUACACGCUGAAGCAAGCAUUUGAAAAUUGGAUUCCCCGAAACAUAAAAUUGCAACCGACAACCAAGAAAGUAUAUUCAUUAAUGAGAAAACGGCAAUCUCCAAAUUUGAUUCCUACAAUCUCUUAUUCAUUGAUGACAAAACUGGAAUGUACUGGAGAUGCAGUAGCAGCCAAGAAGCUGAGGCCAUCUUCCUCCAUUGAAAAUUUGAUUCCCCAAAACGUAUAUUGCACAAGAAAAUGGAGAUCGUACCAAAUUUUAGAAAAAAGUUUAGCAAUCGGGCAUUUCUAUAUCAGUUGUCCAUGUCCAAGCUAUCCUUGGCUAGCCUGAGUAUGAUACACUCCACCAUAUUCUGCAGGUUUACGCUAGAUAUACAUGGUCCUUGAGUAUGUGAUAAAUGGAAGAGAGCUAUUUGAGAAAAUCGCAAGGAUUCUUCUCCUUAUGCUUUCAGUGUGCUAGCUGCUAAGCAUGCUCAGGAACUAAUGAAUCAAAUUCCAGAGAUGUAAUAGACUUUCACAUGCAUCAUGCAUCUCAAAAGCUCCCUAAUACAGUACACUGGCAAGAACUAAAGGGCAAGCAGUCAGAUCUCUGAAAUUAAUUCUAGAAAAUAGAAAUCCAACGAACAUAAACAUCAUGGAAGAAUGAAUCCCUCACCGUACCGGCGCGUAAGAACACCUGGCGCACGCGGGCGUCGGGCUGCGUCUUCGCGAACAAGUUCGUGCCGCAGGUCUGUAACUCAGCUGCGAACCCGUCGGCAUCCGGCAUGGAGAAGUCCAGGUGGUGCCUCAGAUGCACGGACGGGGCGCCCGCGGCCAUCGGGGAGGAGAAGACCGUGGCGACGGCGGGGGUGCCUGGAGGCGGAGCUUGGAAGAUGGAAUGCAAGGGGG
RNAcentral lists this long non-coding RNA (69350 nucleotides) under Triticum aestivum (bread wheat). Its description in RNAcentral is "long non-coding RNA (TAES_LNC011093)". The record is from RNAcentral. Lineage: Eukaryota; Viridiplantae; Streptophyta; Magnoliopsida; Poales; Poaceae.